Molecule: long non-coding RNA, 65608 nt
Filed under: Olea europaea (common olive)
Lineage: Eukaryota; Viridiplantae; Streptophyta; Magnoliopsida; Lamiales; Oleaceae
Description: long non-coding RNA (OEUR_LNC004287)
Source: RNAcentral
AAUUUUUGCAUUAUUUGGUUCUUGGAAAUUCAUUGUAAACAAGAAAACUUAAGAUCCUUCUCUUAAUUAUAUGCAAUAAAUCUAAUUGUUUUUAAAAGUUGAUGGGGGAUCUGAUAUCUUUUUGAGCGAAUAAGGAAUAAAUAUCUCUUUGUUUGACAUAUUCUUAUACCAUAAAGGUUUGGGUCACCACUCACAAACUUUAUUUAUUUAUUAUUUCCUAUGAUAUUUCUUCCUAACACGUUCCUCACAUGUUCUCUUCAAUUCAUUGUCUUUUAUGAAUUAUCCUUUUCCUUUAAACCUCUGAGUGAGUUAUAGCAAAGUGUUAGUGAUUUGAGCAACAAUAAUAACGAUGAAGAAUAUGAAAUCGACAAAGAAAUGUAAUCUUAGCCCCUGUUUAAGCCACAUUUUUAACUCAUUAAAAUAAAAAAUAUAACCGUUAUCCAUCACUAUCAUUUUUAAAUUUCUAUCUCUAGUGUGGGGCCAUAACGACUCUAUUUAUCAUUCUCAUUUUCAUUAUAAUGUGGCUCAAACACUCUUAAUGUCAAACAGAACUUCAGUGUACAUAUCUGUUAGUACACUUCUGAUGCUUCACCAACUUUUAUAUAAGCUGUGGCAAUUGUUUUCUUGUACGUCCAUUCCCUCUCUAAUAUAAUAUUCUAAUCAUGUUCGCUAGUUAGCUGAUCUUGGAUUUGCCAUCCAGUUUCUUUCGUUUUCGUAUUCGAAAACCCAACUUCUCUAUCAAACUUACUAAUACUGUUCUUGUAUCAUUUCUUCAGUCUGGUUGCUGUAAACCAUCAAACGACUGCAACUUCCAGUAUGUUAGCCCCACCAACUGGACUAGGACCUCUCAAUCGUCGUCAACAAAUUCCGACUGCGCUAAGUGGAGCAAUGACCCUAAUGCUUUGUGCUAUAGCUGCCAAUCAUGCAAGGCUGGGUUGCUGGAUAACAUCAAGAGAGACUGGAAGAGAGUGGCUGUCAUCAACAUCAUAUUCCUAGUCUUUCUCAUAAUCGUCUACUCCGUUGGAUGCUGCGCUUUUAGAAACAAUCGGGAGGACAACGGAUGGAAACGAUAUCCUUGAAUGUGUCCAUAAGAUUCUGGUUUGAGUAGAUAUUAGUAGUAUCAGAACUGAUCUCCUGCGUACAGUGUGCAGGAAAUAUCUCCUGUUAGUAGUACAUCUCUAAUUAUUUCUGGUGUUUGUAGCAUUGUCCUAAAGUUUUAUUAGGUUUAUGGUACACUGUUUUCAUUUCGUUUUUCAGACCUUAUAUAUCUUGAUUUUCUAUGUAUGGCCCCGUUUGGUAACAUUAAUGUAAAAAUGAGAAUAAAAAAUACAGUCAUUAUGGAUUCAACACAAGAGAUAGAAAGUCAAAUAUAGUGACUUGAUGUGAUUGAUAAUAGUCAUAUUCUUUUAUUUUAAUGGACAAAUAAUGAAAAACAAACGAUGACAUUUCCCCUACAAAUUUGUCAUUGUAUGUACAGAGUUUGUGCUAAUUUAGUGACGGUAAACUUUAUUCAAUAUUCCUUAUCAAACAUACGAGUAAGUAGUUAAGCUGCUUAAAAUUUGAAAUAGUUAAAUUUGAAAAUUUAUUAAAAUCACAUGGCCUAGUAGUUCGAUGAGAAAUGAUAUAAAUUUCAUAUGAUUAUUUCAUACUUAAGAGAUUAAAAUAAUAUUAAAAUAAGAAAGUGUCUUUUUACGCUUUUCUUAUACCUAUGCUUCUCCUAAACUUGUAGCUUGACCUCCACUUAUCGCCACACAUUAUGUCUUUUAGAACACCGUUAUCAAUUAUGGUGUAAGAAUUACAAGAAUUGUUUGAAGGCGUGAUUUUGGGUGGAUUAAAAUUAGAUGGGUGAUUUUGCUUAUUUUAACAUUUCCUUUAUACUGGAAUAUUGUAGUAAAUAUAAUAACAGAAAUGUUAAGAUGUAUUAUAUGAAUAUCUUUAUAAAAUGAGGUAUCCCACGUAAUUUCCUCUUGCUUCGAACCCUGACCUGCCCUUUCCCGUCGUCCAUCCCCAUAUUGCUAUUGCCGUCUCCUAACAAUUGGUGCCACCAAGAAAUCACCAUAUGAUGUGAGAGUAAUAUACAAAUAAUUGGAAAAUUUACACAAAUAAGCAAUAAGAGGACUGAAAAAUGAAAAAUACUGACUUUCUCCAAUUAAGGAGAAAUACUUCACUAUCAUCGUUUUAAUUAAAAUUUUGUUCAAAUGUGGGAAACUGUUUUAUUUUUUGGGAAGUUUUCAUUUCACAAAAUCAUUGCAACCAUUUUUGUGAAAGAUAUAGUCAUGCCUCAUCUGACGAGGCUCCAAGCAUAUGUCAAGUGACAGCAACUAGGAAGCCUAAUUAGACUAGCACUCCAUGUUAUCAUCCUAUUUGGCCAAAUCGAGGCCAUAAAAUAUAGGUAGUCGAAGUAAUGCAUCACCUUAGUCGAGAUCUUUUUAAUGAUUGAUUUGAUAUCUCUGCAGCAAAUACCUCUCAGUUAACUUAUUAGCUUACCUUUAGAUGUCAAGCGUAGGUCAUGGGGUGGCUACUUUUCAGAAUCAUUAAAUGCUCGUGAACCUAGGACUGAUGGAAUAACAACUAGGAGAAGACACAGGGGUUGCUAAGAUGAGGCCAUGUUUCUUUUAAUCCAAUGGUAAUCACUCCACCUCUUUUUACUAUAAAAGCUUUCAUUUGAUGUAAUUUGAAGGUGAUACAAUUUACACUCUCAAUCAGGGGUGGAGCCAGAAAAUUAGGUUAGGAUUGGCUAAAACAUAAAAAAGUGUGAAUGAAUUUACACCACAAGAAGUUGAGUUUCGGAGGCUAUUUUUGUGACAUUCACUAUAAAAAGUAUACGACACUUGAUGAAAAAAAAAAAGUUUAGAUGUCUUACAUUAAGAUAUUCAACUAAAUCUUUGUAUUUUUUUACCAAAUAGAAAAUCAACGUUUACUUGAAAAAUAAAGCUAACCGAAUUAUGAUUGAAAUAAACAGAAAUACAUAUCCACCAGUGAAAAUUUUAAAAAAUUACUUAAUGAGUACUCUUUUAAUAAUUUUGACGAUCAGUCUUUACAAACAACUGAAAGUUUUAAUAAAUAUUCUUUUUAUUGUCAAUACAGAUUACUUUAUAAAUAAAUAAGUUUUAACAAUCAUUCUUUUUAUUGUAAAUAUCAAAUCUAUAUUAAGUUAUUUAUUUUGAUUAUCUAUUUUAUGGUCAAAAUAAGUAACUUUUUUUUUUUAUAAAUAUGAAUUAGUAAUAAAUGAAAACAUAUGGAUUACUAAAAAAAAUCAAUUACUUUUAAAUUUAGAAAAAUACUUAGUAUCUCAAACUAUUAAAAUAAGUAAUUUUUCUUUUAGAUCUAAUCAAUACAAAUUAUCUACAAUAAAAUUUACUUAAUAAUUAUAAGUAAAUUUUAGUCAAACAUGCAUUAAAUAAAAUAUCUAGUUUGACAAUAAAAUAUUCAUAUUUCAUGAACGUCAUGAAAAGAGUAAUUAAUAAUUGUAGUGUUUUUAAUACAAUUUGAAUAAUUGACAUUGGAUUUGGGUUGAGAUUUAAACUAGAGUUGGGCUAAUACUAAUAUUUGGGUCAAAAUUCUACAAUUUCAUCUUAGAUAUUUAUAUGGGAGAGCUGGGUUAACGCUAAUUUGGGCCAAAAUUCUUCAAUUUUAUCUUAAAUACUUAUAUGGGCUGGGGGAAGCCUAGCACUGCCCCCCCCCCCAACUACCUCUGCCACUGCUCUCAAUAGUGUUAUUGCUUAACUCUUGUUCUUUCUAUACCUCGGUGCCCUGUACAUUUUUGUAGCUUAUGUCUUCCGUCCAUUUUAUAUCUAAAAGGAUGUUUGGUGGGGAUUAAAAUUAUAUUUUUUAGUAGAUUGAAAUAGAAGUUUUUGAAAUUUGUGGUUGAAAAGUUGUGGGACUCAUGAAAGAUGUAGUUAAUAUUGAUUGUUUAAUUUUGACUUAAAUUAAAAUCAGAUUUUAAUCCGUACCAAACAUGCUCUAAAUAUAUAUCUACAAGUUGAUUGACUUGAUAUUUAUAGUGCUCGCGACCACCUCCCUCACCAUCGAAGAAGGCUACAUUCUUUUAAUGAUUUGUCUAAAUGUGUAGGAGCUGCACGAGUAGGUGUGAGUAUAAUUGGGAUUUGUUGACUACAUCACCAGUCAUGAAUCAAGUUCAACAUAUAUGAUCCAUCAAAAUUGGCUCAAUCUCAAAUUUAAAAUUCAAAAUAUAAAAUGCUAAAAAGAAAUCUCUAAUUAAUGCUUAAGGCCCCUAACUCUUUGGUAUUUCCCCAUUUGCCUGCAUGCUUCUCACCAUGUAAACUAUAGUCCAAUCCUUCUUCCAGUACACCAUUUUGCUGAGGUGUGAUGCUUAUGUCCAUUGCCUUCGAAGUCCAUGUUCAUCACGAAAAUUUGCACGAUUAGAUUAGAGAGUUUAGGUGGUUUUCUCAACUUUAUUCCGUACUUGAACUUUGAAUUUAAUAUUUCUUUUUGCCAUUUGAUAUAGGGUUUACUGGGCUACAUAUAUUAAAAUGGAUUAAAUACAACGACAUCUAAUACCAGUUUGAUAGGUUAGACAAUAUUGCAAAAACGAUAUCUUUGUAUUCUUUUCUCCAUAUUUUAAUGAAUUCUCCUUUCUUUUACCAAUUAUCUUUUGUUCAUGUGCAUUUUGUGAUAUUUACUUUAUAUUGUGACAUAUAUAUUCACCUUGAUAUCACAACAAACUGGUAUUAGAGCGAGGUUCGAUUAAGUCAAGAGGUCAAUUUGAUCUUUUGUGAUGGCAACCAUGAAGUAUGAUAUUUCACUUUUGGAUCGCAACACAAGAUUUUCAUUGUAGCAAGUAAAGAUUUGAGUAGUGCUCGCUAAGAUGGAUUUGGAUGAUGCUUUGAUCGAAUUUGACAAGAUGCUCACAACUUGGAUGUCGUAGGAAAAAAGUAAGGAUUGAACCCUAUCACAGAUUUAUUUUCAUCCUUCGAAUAAUAUUUUUCAAAAUAUUUAGAAGGAGAAAACCACUGUUACAUUAUGGUUGAAAUUGGAGAAAUUAUGUAUGACAAAGGGUCUAACUAGCAAAUUACAUUUGAAGUAGGGUCUUCAUUCUCAUUAUAUGACAGAAGACACAUAACUUGAAGAUCGCCUAGCUAUUUCGAAGAAAAUUAUUGUUGAUUUGGAAACCUUGAAAGUAAAUAUAAUGAAGAGGAUUAGUGUUUGAUUUUGUCGUGUUCUUGCCCACUUCAUAUAUGUCUUUUAAAGACAUGAUCUUAUGCAAUCAUUGUUCCUGUGAUACCUGCAAGCGUACGAGAUCGUUGAUAAGUAAUAGAUUUAGUGAGUUGAGGGUAUCGUCCUAUGAGAAAUAAAAUUUAAUGGAGUGUACUAAUCCCUAAUUAGAUCCAAAGUAAAUAAAAUAAAAGUGUUUUGUAAUUUUUAACUAAUCUAACUUAAUCUACGAAAGCGAGUAAAAUGCAAAUUUAAUAAGGGAAGAGUGUAUUGGAUUACGAAUCCACCUAUUAUUAUCUAUUCCAAUUCUCAACUACAUAGCUAGUUUCAUUCUUGCGUUCUUGACAAUCGAUAAUUCUAUUUUAAUUAAUUUUCUUUUUCAAUACAAAUUAAAUCUAUCAUAUUCACGACCCGAAUAUAUUCCUAGUCCGAAUUUGAAUGAAUAGAGCGCAUUUAAUUUCACAAUUAUCUUAAAGAUUGCACACGCGAUAAAUAAUAUUCCUAAAAUUUAUUGCACAUGUGUUAAUCAUGCAGUGUUCUAAAUCUAUUGUGAGCUUCCCAACACUACAACAAGCAAUGAUAUAUUUAAUUGGUGAUCAAGCAAUCAAAUAAUAAAUUAAGCAUGCAAGAUUAAUUAAGAAUUGCAAAACUUUAACUAAACCACGUGUCUCGAAUUAAAAAUAAAUAAUAAAGGGUUUUAUCUUCAUCUAAUACAUGAGAAAAAUUAACCUAGUAUAAUGUUGGAAUUAAACACAUAAAAAUGGAAGGGCAUCAUCAAGAAUCGACAGAAAUUGAUUAAUUCCGCAAUUGUUGAAGAGGUCAAGAUAUGGAGCAGGCAAAAAUUUACGAUGCAUUCUCACUCACUACCCGCCUAAUUUCCACUUGACCGCUCAAAGCAGGGAACUUGAUGCUCGUUUAGCAUUACCCUGCCACUCGGGCGUAAGUUUUGAUUUGAGCUAUUUUGCUUUUAAGUUUUGAUUUGAGUUUCAUAUCAUUGUAUAUUGCUAAUCCUUCCUUAUUGAUGUAAUUUAUGAUUUGUCCAUAAAUUUAAGGUUGAAUAUGGUCUGAUCGAUCAAGUUUGAUUCGAUUCUUCCGAAUUUUUGAGUAUUUAGUAAGUAGAAUCAUCGAAAUCCAAAUUUAAUUAUAGAGCCAAAAUGGUUUGGUUCCAUUGGAUUCGGUUCGAUUCAAUUUAGUUUCAUUCAGUUUUGAGGUUCCUUACAGUAAUUAAAUUUUUAAUAUUUACAAUAACACUACAUUAAUUCAACUAAUGACAUGUUCAAUCUUAACUCUUAUAAAAUAACGUAGUCUAAUCCUGUGAUAUCUUUUGGGCAUCUAUUUGUUGAGUUUUUCAUAUAUUUGGCUGUUAAUAUCACAAGAAGAGGAAGGUGUUGAGCUUACGAUAAUGAAGAGAUGCUCAGUCAAGCUUUCAAUUUGAUUUCUUUAGAAUGACAGAAAACAACACGAUAGAAUGAGAGAUUUGAGAAAAAUUUAGGUCAAUGUGAUUAAAUUGAACUUGAAUUGAAAAUUAAAAAUAGAAAAACCAUAUUUUUUGUUGGGCUAAAUUAAUUAGUUGGCCAGUUAAAUAGGAAAAAAUAUAUUUUUGGGUUCAAUUAAUUAGUUGAAAAAUUCAUUUACAAAAAAAUUGAAAUAAUUUGGCUUGUCUAAUAUAAAAAAUUUAAACAAAAGGGAGAUUAACUUCUUAUUUGAUUUUUCGAUUCUUGGUCUACACCAAGAAGCAAACCAAAUCCGUUGGUUUUUUUAUUCAGAUGACCGUUUUUGUAUUUAAGUGAAGAAGAAUAGCUCGAUUUGAUUUAGUUUGGUUUGGAUCCGAUUCGGUUCGAGAGUUUUAUCUUCCUACACAAAUUGGUUAAAGCUAUACAAUUCAAAUACAACUUAAGGAAUAAUUUUGAACCUAUAACAUUUUCAAUCGACUUUGAACCUUAAUUUUACUGUAGAUAUAUGAUAUUUCCCUAUAACCUAAUAAAUGAAUUAAUAGCAACCCAAUAAAUGAAUUAAUAGUCACUAAAUAACCCAAUUUGCAUUUCACAAUAUUCCCCUUUAAAUCAAUAACAAUCCAACAAAUAAAAAUAAUAAAUGAUACAUCUAAGGGAAAAUCUUAUAUAAAGACAUAAAGUAUGGUCCAUUUCAAAACUAAGAAAUAAGAUUUAAAAUUCAAAAAUUAGAUAUUAAUUAAAUUUUGUUUAUGAAAUAAUUAAUUAAAAAUAUUUUUUAUUAGUUAAAUAUAUUAAGGUCACAAUUAUAUACUAUUUGGUCACAAAUGAUCAAAUUAAUUGAUCAUAAAUUAUUUCUCGAUCACGAAUAAAAUUUUUGUAUAGGUCACGAAUUAUUUCAAGGUCAUAAAUCAAAAAUUUUACAAGUCACAAUUUAUUAAUUUGUCACAAAUAAACAAUUUAUAAAUCACGAUUUAUUUAUUAGUCGCAAAUCAUUAAUUUUAUAAGUCGCGACUCAAUUAUUUAUGUCGCACAUUAUUUAUUGAUCACAAGUUAUCUUUCACAUAUUACUUAUUAAUCACAAAAUAUCCAACUUAUUGGCCAUAAUUUCAAAUAAUUGGUUACAAAUUAACCAAUGUAUUAGUUGCAAUGACUAAAUAAUUGGUCACAAACCCUCUUUAUACAACCCAACCCACCACCACUAGAUUCAUCAUCUCAUGACCACUGUCACCACCAGCACUCUACUACCACUGUCGUCACCACCACAAUCUCACCAUCAUCACGAUUAGUACACCACCACUAGCUGCCCGUACUAAGAAUCACAAUUGCCAUCUCUAUCUCCACCAUACCACGCCAUACCACACCAUCCCACCACCAAAAAAUCCCCAAACUAGGCAUCAUUGCCAUCGUCACCACCACCACUACCACCACCACCACCACCACUGCAUAUUUCAACAAUCACCACCACGACCACUUCAAUCUCACCAUCUCCUUCACCUCUACCACACCACAACCAUUGGCACCAACUCAAAGAUACAGACUAAAAUAGAGAAAACAAAUCGACUCCUUGCAAAAGAUGAAUCAGAAAAUAGAUCCACGAGAAAAUUGAAUGGUGGUUUUGAUCUUGUUGUGAUGAAUACAUUAGUACAUGAUGAAAAUAGAGGCCUCAAUCUAUUGCACACAAUUGUCGUGAUGGUAGUUCUAUCGUUGCGAGGCGCCAUUGCAUCAGGUCAUGUACAACAGUGUACCGAACAUUAUACAGGGAUGUCAAUGAGUUGAGCCAAAACUCGAAACUCAGGUUCGACUCGAAUAAAAAUGGUUUGAACAUUUUUGGCUCUAGCCGAGCCGAUCUUUUACUCCACAAAAAAGUCUAGGCACGACCCAAGCUUUCGGCACAACCCUUAAUGAGCCGAGCUGAGCUAGCUCACUUUUUUUAAUUCAUGAUAAGUCUAAUAAGAAUUUAAAGUUUGUGCAAUUUAUAUGAAUUAUAAAUUAAAUAAAAUUUUCAAUUUAGUACUUUCUAUAAUAGCUGGCUGUCUUGUUAUCUUCUUAAUUUUCAUUGUUUUUUAAUUCUAUUUUUGUUAUAAGCCGAAAAUGACUCGUGACAUGGGCUGAUCUGUGCUGCUUAACGAGCUACAUUGGUUGGCUUGAACUUGAGUUGAUGCUUCAAAAUGGGGCUCGACCCAAGCCUCGGCUCAGUCCUUCUGAGCCACGAGCCAGACCAGCUCGAACUUUUUCCGAAUCAAGCCAUGGGCUGCCUGAGCCUGCAAGCCAUAUUUACUUCCGUAGCACCGCCUAAACUAGGAGCGACCGAUGGAGCCGGAGCAGCCUUUCUUCUACCUAUUGUCACCAGAGCGUUGGGGGGAGAAGAAGAGAGAGAUGUGGGCCAUGUGAUUAGUGAUUUUGGAUUUUUUAGGGUAUGGGUGGUUAUAAUUUAGAGAAAAAAUAGAGGAAAGAGAAAUUGAAUAUUUUUAACAUUAAAGAUUUGAAUUUAUAUCUGAUUUUUGUAUAAACAAACUCUAGAUAUAUUUUUGAAGUUGGAUCUUUAAAUAUUUGGUUGGAUGUGAUUUUCACUACCUCUAAGCUAUUUCUGAUGCUGACUUGGGCCGCUUGGGAAUUAGUGGGCUUGGUGGUUGAUUGAAGGUGGCCGAAUAGUAAUCUGUUUGCGAAACGGAGCAGAGUAAAAAGGUGACGGGAGAAGAAGAAAGAGAACAUGGGGAAGAAUAGAAAAAGGGAAAUACAAGAAAAAGAAAAAGGAAAAGAAAAGAAAAUAAAAGAGAAGAAAAGAAAAGAAAAGAAAAGAAAAGAAAAGAAAAGAAAAGAAAAAGAAAAAGAAAAAAAUGUAAUUUUUUUUUGAAAGAAUUAAAAUUUAAAAAAAAUUCCGCUCAUACUUGAUAGCCUACAAAUAUGUCAAAUAUUUUUAUUUUCAAAAGAUAUAUUUUGUACGUUAAAUUUUUUUUCUAGAAAAAAUACUAAAUUCUCUGGACACAAGUUCUUUUACUAUUGAAAAUUUUGAAGUAAAUUAUAGCCCUACAAAAUAUCUUUUUUGUGGGAAAAAGUAAUAUCCACAUACAAAUCUCAAAUUGUCUUUCAAAAUUUUGUAGGGAAAGUAUAAAUUUCUUGUAGUGUGAUUCGUACACACCCAAUGAUGCAUUAGCGACAAAAAAUUUUUAUCUUGUACAACUAAUCCAGUUGAUAAAUAAAUUGGAAAUGGAUAAAUUAUUUGCAAUUUUUAAAAAUAGUCAAUAUUUUCUAUUAAUAAAUUUAUUUUUAUCAUCGAGAAAUCAAUCAUAGAUUCUUUUAUUGUAUUCAUGUCUGGCAAAUGGUCUACACUCUAUACCAAUUCCAUAACAUAUCAUAUCAUAUUUCAGCGUUGUGCAUUAUUGUUCGUACUCCUAAAAAUCUCUCAUUGGACAAAUUUUGGGACCAGUUGCAAGUAACUUUAAUGGAAAUUUAAAAACGUGAAAAUAAGCAUUUGUAUUUAAUCUAAAAACCAAAAUAAUUUAAACACAAAGAGAAAGUGUGCAUGUGUUUUAAUUUUACAUAGCCCUCUCAACAUCUUAUCAAUGCUCCUGUCCACAAUAUUUACCAAUUAUGUAUUGCGAGACAGAAAUUAUUAGAGUGGUAGAUUAUAUCUGCUAAAAUAAUAUGUCUUAAUCCAAAACUGAAACUGAUUGAUGCAAUUCACAUAUUUCCAGGAAACCGACAAAUAUUUUUUAUUCUCUCUUAAUUUUGAUUCUUUGCAUCCCCUAUUUUUUCUUUUAUUCAAUGGAUUGUACAAAAUCUUUUAAAUUGUUUUCAUACACGUUUCGAAACUGGAAAAUUUUUUAGAAAUUCAUAAGAAGAGGUGGUUAGCUUUGGAUGCGUGACACGUGAUCUCAUCUUAAUGACUCAUGAGUAUCUCAUAAGUGUACAUUUAGCGGUCCCCACUUUUGACUCAUGAGUAUCAAAUAGCCUUAAUUUUUGACUUCUUCUCUCACAUGUGGACCCCACUUUUCUUCUAACGGUCAAAAAAUCAAUUCUCAAAAUCCCUACCAAACGGGCCCUUGAUAAGGGGUGCGAGACCUUGGAGAGCCAACAAAAUCGUCCGACUAUUUGAUAGGGUUAUGUAAUUCAAAAUGCCGAGGUUUACAAGCCAAAUUCCAAGUAUAUGUGGGGAUGCCGAAGGCCAAAACAACUUGGAGGAAAUGCAAUUCAAGAAGCUGGGAAUAUGGUCUAUCGUAAAGCCAUGCGAUUGCAAGGCUUUAUGCCUCAUGAGGUUGCCCAAGAGGAAGAAGAAAACUGAUCGGUGGCAAAUGUUGAUCCAUGCGGCCACAUGGUGUAUUUCGAGACCAAGAGUUUUAAUUUUCUCUCGAGAAUCCCAUUUUGGUUCAAAUACAUAUUUUUGGUAACUUUCAUAAUUCUAGGACUCCUUUUUUUUUUUUUAAGCAAAUACCACUAGUGUGGUUUAUUUUAUAUAAUGAAAAGCGGGAAAACAAAUAGAGGAGGGGGGCAUGGACCUGACCUCCAGCAAAUGUAAAUUGUAACAAAUAUUUGAAGAUAAAAUGCAAUGACAGUAAACAAGACACGAACAAAAACUAAUGAAAGGUAGUCAAGGGUAUUCCCGAGGGUAAAUCUUCGGGUGGUAGUACAUGGACAUUGAUCGAGUCAUGCGUCUGGUUUGAAACAUUUCCGGAUCAUAGUAGUCUGCGAUGUUUGGCUCGCUCGUCGGAGAGGGGUCUCGCCUGCGUGUAGGAGCCUGCUUUGGUGAUAAGUACUGUUCAGAUGGUGGUGCACUGAAUGUCGGGCGAAAAGCGGGUGCAUCUGAUCUCAUUGUACUAGUCGUAGGUGCAUCUGCACGAUCGAAGUAUGUUAGGCAGAAAUAUUUUAGAUUUAGGAUGUCUGAAAUGGAAGGAUCAAAUUCAGACAGUAAGGGUAAUCAAAUCAACAUGUCUGACAAUGUGAUGCAGAGGUUUGAGAGGCUAUUAGUGGAUAUGUGAGAUAUGAUGGAUCGAUAGGAGGCUUGGACGGAAAUGCUAGACACUACAGUUACUAAUCUUCAUAGGGGGCAUGUGUAGAAGUACCUAGUGUAAAAAGAUAGGGUAGACAAGAACGUAGGAUAAAGAUGCGUGAUGAGUAUGUAUAAGGUAGUAAUAUAGAUGAGGAGACAUUAAUGGAGGUUGAAAUGGGGAGAAUGAGGAAUAGAAGUGAUAGGAUUGAAAGACGGGUAGAAAUAAUAACGGAGACGAAGUGAAUGGAGGCAUGGGCAAUGUAAAAAUGUCAAUCCCAAGUGAUCCAGAAGUUUACUUAGAGUGGGAGAAGAAGGUGGAAUUGAUCUUCGAUUGCCACAAUUAUUUGGAAGAGAAGAAAGUAAAGAUAAUAGUCCUUGAGUUCACUGAUUAUGCAAUAACUUUGUGGGAUCAAGUGGCGACAUCGAGGCAGAGGAAUCGGGAGAGACCUAUCAAUACUUGGGAUGAGUGGAAAGCUAUUAUGCGGAAGAGGUUCAUGCCUAGUCACUAUUAUAGAGAACUUCAUCAAAAGUUACAAAGUUUGUACCAGAGGUCGUGGACUGUAGAGGACUACCACAAGGAGAUGAAAAUAUUAAUGAUUAGGGAGAAUGUGGAGGAAGAUUGAGAAGCCACUAUUGCUCUAUUUCUGAAUGGGUUGGAUAGGGAUAUUGCUAAUGUAGCAUGGUUGCAGUAUUAUGUGGAGUUUGCUUCAUUGUUUUUCAUUGAACAAUCUGAACUUAUCAAGAAAUCUCUUUUCUUGUGGCGUUCACAAAUCUGAGUGGGAUUCACUAAUUGUGUGAUCAAGAGGUUGGCAAACUCUUGUUUGUUGGUUACUUGGUUCAUAAGUUUUGGGUUAAAUUCAAAACCUUACUUAUUGGCAUUUUUGGGAUUUAGUCACAAUCUCGUUGUGGGUUUCAUAGCUGCCGUUGCUUUGUAGGUUCACAUCACACAUGAUGUUUAGAUAUAAUGGGUCAUAUUCCUCAUGAAUUGCAAUAAUUUCAAAAUGAUUUAAGGAUAUUGCUGUCAAGAAUUGUUUCACAGAUUUUCAUGAUAUAGCUGUUCCUCCAUGUGUAAAUAUAUAUCUUGUUUGUGAUUUAGCAUUAUGUGAGUCAGAGAGAUAACCUGCAUUUGUAUAUCUCACUGAAGCAAAUCCUGACUUUUGAGAAUAUAAUAAUCUCAAAUCAUGAUUUUAUGCACUGUAGGUAAAGAAAAAUAUGUUUAACACUCUUCCAAUAUCUUUGAAUGGUGUAGAGCUAUAUCUUACAAAAAGAUUUAUAAAACAGUUAUGUCCGAUUUAGCACAGUUUGCAAAAUAAGUUAGUGCUCCAAUUGCACAAAGAUAUAGUACUUCAGGACCAAGAACUUUUUCUCUAUAUUCAAGUGAAAGAAAUGAAUGACUUUUCACAUCAAAUGAUUAAAUAACCAUAGGUGAUGUCAAUUGAUGUACAUUAUCUAUAUAAAAAUGUUUUUAAAACUUUUCUAUAUAUGUAGAUUGAUGAACAAAUAAUCCUACUGGGAAGUGUUCAAUCUUCAAUCUAAGACAAAAUUUGGUUUUCCCAAAUCUUUCAUUUCAAAGUCAUUUUUCAAAUAAUUACCAGUUUUGUUGAGUUCUUCGAGAGUUUCAAUUAAAUUUGAAUUAUCAACAUAAAUUGUCAUAAUUGUAAAUUCAACAUUUGUUCUCUUUAUGAAAACACAUAGGCGUGCAUCGUACUUUUUAUAGCAUUCUUUCAACAAAUAUUAGUUAAGGAGAUUAUACCAUGUGUUCAUUUAUUUGAAUAAUCAUUACUUCGAUCGAUGUAUUUCAAUACAUUUAUUUUGAUUUGCUAUAUGAUGCAGUACAUCAUGUGCAAAAUUAUUGUCGAUAAUUUUUUCUUUUCAUUUCUAUUUCUUUUCACAUAAUGACAUAACUUAUUGAGAUAUCUCAAGUUUCAAUACUUCAGGUAUUUGCACCUCAUCGAAGGUUUUAUAAUCUGUUAUGUCUAAAUACUCAUCAAGACUAUGUAUCUCCUUAAUGAGACCAUAUUUGUUAAGUGAGACCAUAUUUGUUAAGUGCUUCGUUUUACUUUGAAGAAUUUUGUAUUAGAAUCAAACACCAUCGCACUUUAGACAUGUCAUAGAUAUAUCUAAUAUAAUGCUAACAAAUGGUUCUCAUAGGAUAUCAAUUCGCGUUGGAGCAUUUAAAAUUGGUGCAUGAGAUAUUGUUUAUCUCUUUGAUCAGUAAAUGCAUCUGAAUAAAUUAUUUUUUGAACUUUUGAUUCAAAUGAUAUUUUGCGAUGGAUUUAGAUAAUGAUGCAUCUAUACAUUAUUUUCACGCAGAGGCUUUGUUGUGGUGCUUGCCAUGUUGCUUUGUGCGAAGCAACGACAGUGGUGCGAGGGACGAUGAAGAGAUGGAGAACGGUAGAAAUGGUUUUAGAUUUGGGAAGAAAAAGAGUAGGUAUGGAAAGAUAUAGAGAGAUAAAGGAGGGGAAAUUUAAUUAGGGUUUGAGAUGAAAAUUGUAUGUUUAAUAUUUAAAUAUGAAAUAUCUAAUUUAUGAAUAAUGAAACCUCCACCUUGUUUUUAGAAUAAUGAUCUUCAAAAAUAGGGUGGGAUGUAAUUUCCAUUUUUUUGAUCUAGCCUAUAAAUUAUAAAAAAUGAAAAAUUAUAUAAAAAAUCAGUUCCAUUCGGGUACAUACGAUUCUAAUUCAAAAACCAAUAACCAACCGGAUCAAGUUGGUUUCAAUUUCAAUUCUUAAUUUCUUUAUUGGAAUCGGAUGGAAUCUUUGGUUCUGAUUCAGGAGGUUCGGUUUCAAUUAAAGUGUCCCAACCUAAUUAGGACAAUAGCAAAAAGAUCCACCUAGCCCAAAACCCAUUCAUCUUUUUUCCUCUACCAUAAGCCAUUGCCAUUGACCAUCUCCUCCACCAUCAUCGAUGACUCCACCUUAACUGUCAUUAGCGCACCACCAUUCUAUGGCAACGAAAACACCUUCUUUAUCGUCUUUUACCGUGGAUUGUUAGAAAAAUAACAUUUUUUACUAUAUCCAUGGCAAUGGGUAAUUUGAUGAGAAUUCUUUGCAAACAUGAAAGAAUAACUUCGACACUCGGAGCUCUCGAAUUAGUUUUGGUCCAUAAGUAUGCAGGUGCUCGUUCGUAGCUCUAUCUAAAUGAACCGAGUGAGAGUAUAAUAGGUGUACCAAUGUAGAGCCUCAUUUACAAAAAGGGUUGGAAGUAAUGCUUUUCAGAUAACAAGGAUUCAGAUUGUGAUGGCAUACUAAACUUCUACCUAGCCUCAAAUGCUUGACUACAGCCAAUAUAUGUUGUCGGAUCAAGACGAAGAGCUAAGAUUUUACUCGAAAACUGGUCGAAAUGUACCUUCAAUAACAUUAGGUCUUUGUCUUUAUAGAUGUACCUUUCCUUAAAUAUGGAUUGUCAUUUAAUAUUUGGAUAAAGCUACAUCUUAUAAGGUGGAAUUGAGGACAAUGAUGACAAGUUAUAUCGAAUGGACUCGAUGAUGUGUUUCAUCAAUGAAGAAUUAUACAUAAAUUAGGAGUAGAAGGGGACAAAAAUUAAUUAGGAAUUUAAAGAGUCAUCAAAGAGGAUGAUGACGAGAAUGAGACGUUUGAUGGAGAUGAGAAUAGGGUGGUGCAUUGAAUGCGUUUCUCAACAAUGAAGCGGCCUUCAAAUACACCACCAGGAUGAAUGAUAUUGGAGGAGGGAUCAACGUAAAUAUAGAUAUGGUAAAGUCCUUGGUAGUGUAGAUGCCUUCUCAAACAGCAAAGAUGUUGUUUCUUUCAACUCUGUCAAUAGCGAUAUUUUACAGACGAAUAGUUGUCUUGACGCAGGAUGGAAAUGCAAAUCCUAACUAAAAUAAAAGAGGCACCUGUUGUGGCACUAUUUCUGUGGAGUUAUGCCCAAUUACUCUUUGCCAUUUUUUCAUUUUUUUUAAACGUUAUAUUACUUUAUUAACUUUCACACGCGACCAUCAUUUUCAUUUCUCUUUUAUCUCUCAAUCUUUUCUAUUUUUUCACAAAACUAUCCACGCAAUUUACUCUACUUCUCCACACAACUAAUACUUCUCAUUUUCUUCUCUGUUUAUUAAUCAAAAAUUUAUUUGUCCAUUUUCAUUGAAUUUACAGGACAAAACGAUAUCGCUUUCCUGCGUUGAAUGACAAAACGACAUCAUUUUAUUCCAUAAAUAUGAUAAAAUGUUUGAAUAUAUUUUAUAUAUAAUUAUAAAAAAUAUUAAUAAUUUAAUUAAUAAUAAUUAAAUCUUGAUCAAUGUAUGUUAUAUUCACUCAUUAUCUCAAUAUUUGAGAUGAAAUUAUUUUCCAAAAAAUGGAAAAAAUCAAGAUAUUGACUAAAAUCGAGAAUCCUAAUUUUAAAGAUUAUCCUUCUCAACUACAUCUAGAUGAUAUUCCAUCUUCCAAAAAUUCAAAUGUUAAAACAUUGAACAAGAGAUAUUGGAAUAAAGUAUAAUCUCAUAAAAUUAUACGAAUUGAGUUGUAACUAUCAUUUUACACCAAUAUACUAAUAAAAAAAAAAAACUAAAAGAUCUAACAAAUUAAAGAACAAAAAUAAAAGAGCUGCAGGCAAAAAUAAAAAAAAAUAAAAAAAAAAUUAUUAUAAAGUUUUUUAAUUAAAUUGAAAUAAUGAAAAUAAAAAAAUAUUAUUUAAUUAAAAUUGAAAAAAUUAUGUUUUAUCAUAAAAUGAAAAGAUUUAAAAAGAAUUUUAAAUCGAAAAAAGUAUUCAUAUUAUGAAGAAAAAGAAAUUUUAAAACAAUUUAAAAUAAUAAUAAUAAUAAUAAUAAUAAUAAUAAUAAUAAAAAAUUAAACAAAAGAAAGUUACGAAAAUUAAAUAAAUAAUAAUUAUUUAAAAUUCAAAAAAGUAAGUUUUAUCAUAAAGAGAAAAGAAUUAAAAAAAGUUAUUUAUAAUAGCAACAAAACAAAUUAAAAAAAAUGAGAAUAUAAUGUGAUGGAGAGGAAUAACAGAGAAUAACUCCAUGUUAUGGAGUGUGAUGAAGAGUUUCUCUCCGUGUAAUAGAGGGAAACUCUCCAUUUUUUUAUUUUUUUAAUUAGUUUUGUUCAUAUAAUAAAUAAAUUUUAUUUUUUGAUUUAAAAUUAUUUUUAAUUCUUUUUUCUUUAUGAUAAAAAUUACUUUUUUUUAAAUUUAAAUUAAAUAUUAUUUAUAUAUUCAUUAUUUAAUUUUCAUAACUUUGUUUUGUUUAAUUUAUUAUUAUUUUUUUAAAAAAAUUUUAAAACUUUUUCCUUCAUAUUAUAAGUAAUUUUUUGAUAAUAAUAAUGAAUUGAACAAAAGAAAGUUACGAAAAUUAAAUAAAUAAUAAUUAUUUAUAAUUCAAAAAAGUAAGUUUUAUCAUAAAGGGAAAAGAAUUAAAAAAAAGUUUUAAAUCGAAAAAAAAAUAUUUAUAAUAGCAACAAAACAAAUUUAAAAAAAUGAUAAUAUAAUGUGAUGCAGAGAAAUAACAGGGAAUAACUCCGUGUUAUGGAGUGUGACGAAGAGUUUCUCUCCGUGUAAUGGAGGGAAACUCUCCAUUUUUUUAAUUAGUUUUGUUCAUAUAAUGAAUAAAUUUUAUUUUUUGAUUUAAAAUUCUUUUUAAUUCUUUUUUCUUUAUGAUAAAAAUUACUUUUUUAAAUUUAAAUUAAAUAUUAUUUAUAUAUUCAUUAUUUAAUUUUAGUAAAUUUCUUUUAUUUAAUUUAUUAUUAUUUUUUUAAAAAAAUUAAUAAAAAUUUCUUUCAUAUUAUAAAUAAUUUUUUGUUCGAUUUAAAAUUUUUUUUAAUUCUUUUCAUUUUAUGAUAUAAAUAAUUCUUUUUUAGUUCAAACUUUAUCAAUGUCUAUAUGAAACUCUAUUUACCUUGUCCGAUGUACUUCUACUGAAGUUUUUAUCUAUAAAAUUUUACAUUUACCGAUAAAAAAGUAUUGAUAUCUUCAAAUGUAAAACUCAUCAAAUAACAACAAAGACAAAACUUGACUAAUUAUCGUCAUAUAUUUUCUACGCUAUUAUAUACUCAAUUACAGCAUUUUCACGUCCAUAACACGUGCAACUAUCAUUUUACACCAAUAUACUAAUAAAAAACUAAAUAAUUUAACAAAUUAAAGGGAAAAAAGAAUAUAUAAAUAUUAUUUAAUUAAAAUUAAAAAAAUUAAAUUUUAUCAUAAAGAAAAAAUAAUUAAAAAAAUUUAAAUAAAAAAAUAUUUAUAUGAUGAACAAAACAAAUUACAAAAAAAAAAAAUGGAGAGUUUCUCUCCAGAAACAUGGAGAGAAUCUCUUAGUGUUAUGGAGAAAUUCUCUUGAUGUCCAUAGCAUGGAGAGAUUUCUUGGAGAGGUUUCCCUCCUCACGUUAUUUUUUAUUUGUUUUGUUCAUAUUAUAAAUAAUUUUUUUAAUUCUUUUCUAUUUAUAAUAAAACUUAUUUUUUUCAAUUUCAAUUAAAUAUUAUUUAUAUAUUCUUUAUUUAAUUUUCAUAACUUUCUUUUGUUUAAUUUAUUUUUUUUUUUGAAAAUUAUUUUAAAAUUUCUUUUUUCUUCAUAUUAUAAAUAAUUUUUUGUUCGAUUUAAAUUUUUUUAAUUCUUUUUGUUUUAUGAUAUAAAUAAUUCUUUUUUAGUUCAAACUUUAUUAAUGUCUAUAUAAACCUCUAUUUACCUUGUCUAGUAUACUUCUACUGAAGUUUUUAUUUAUAAAAUUUUACAUUUACCGAUAAAAAGUAUUGAUAUCCCUAACUCUAAAACCCAUCAAGUAACAAAAAAGACAAAGCUCGACUAAUUAUCAUUAUAUAUUUUCUACGCUCUUAUAUACUCUAUUAUAGCAUUUCACGUGCGUCUUACUAGUAAUAAUAAAAGGGUCUUGUUCGUAAUACACGAUCGGGUGAUUGUUUGAAUUUCGUUCGAACGGACGUAAUAAUUAUUUGGAAUCCACCAAUUAAUUAAAAAAAUAAAAUAUUUUAUCAAUCAAGAAUCGAAUAUAUAAUUUACAAACUCUUAAACAAAUAUUUAAGGACUCAAAACAAAUUCUAAUUCAAAUGAGAUUCUAAUUGUACAAAUAAAUUUAAUUAAACUAGGAAACUAAAAAAGAUCCAAUUAAAACUAAAAAACUGUAAAGAUGAAAAUAUCCUUAAGCUGUCUAAAAAAAGUAAAAAUGUUCAAAUGAGCCUGCCCCUAAAUGAUGACAUUUGACCAUGAAAGUCUGAGAAUGUCAACUGCAAAAAUUAUGUAGAAUUGAAAAAUGCUUUCGGAUUGAACUCUAGACGAAAAAUUCGAUAUCAAAGCUGAAAAUUAUGCUUGUUUUCGUACAUCCUCCUAAUUUAUUCUCUUUUUAUUUAAUAAUUUUCUUUCAGAUUGUCCCUCAUUAUAUCUCCUUACUAGCUAUUCAUAGUGGAGAGAAGAAUAUGUUAUUAUCAAGUGAAUUGCUCAAAUGGUCACUGAAUUUUGUAAAAUAUUUUCAGUGGGUCACCGAACUUUAAAAAUUACUUAAAUGGUUACUAAACUUUGCAAAAGGUUUCUACGGGGUCACUGAAUUUUAAAAAUAACUUAAAUGGUCACUGAAUCUUACAAAAUAUUUCGACGAGGUCAUUGAACUUUGUAAAAUAUUUCCACGAAAUCACUGAAUUCAGUGACUCCUGAGAAACCUUUUACAAAGUUCAAUGACUAUUUAAGUCACGUAGAAACCUUUUGCAAAAUUCAAUGACUAUUUAAGUGAUUUUUAAAGUUCAAUGACUCCUUGAAAAAUUUUUACAAAGUUCAGUGACAAUUUGGACAAUUCACUCGUUAUUAUCGUAUUCGUGAAGUUAUAUGUGAUUUUUUCUUUUUGGUUUAUCUAAAAGUUAAGGGUGAAGUUGCCUUUUACCUAACCUUAUCAGUCAAAUUGGACAGGAUUUGUCAACAUGGAUGUUAUUUGCAAUUAAGCAUUCGUUUGGUAACAAUUUUUCACCCAAAAAAAAUCAAUUUUGACCGUUAUUUCUCUAUUUCAGACGUCAUUUUUAACUUCUUUAGUACAAGUGGGACCCUUUUUUUCUUCCUAACGAUAAAAAAAUCAAUUAUCAAAAUCACUACGGAACAAGCCCUAAGUAAAAGGUUCGGAAUGUCUAAUUCUAAAAAAUGGUUGAUGGUAGAUUAGCAACAGCUUGUAAAGCUCGGGGAUGAAAGUUUAUCAAAAUACAAUGGGCUUCCUCAUUGGUCACCGCACGAACCGGGCAGUAAUUACCAUCAAUUGACACUUCUUACUUUUCUGGUUAAAUUCCCAAAAGUUACCCCCUAAAAGAAUCGAACUUUUCGUGAUUCGAAGGGUCCUCUCUUAUCGAUUUACAUCUUCAAUGGCCGAGGUAAAAAUCCCUACAAAAUUUUUUAUAUUUUCAUUAAUGUCCAUUGUUAUUUUUCAUUGUCCGCUGCGUAUAGGCUUUUCAUUUCAAAUCUCUGGGUACACUGUGUGACAUGAUCUGUAAAUAUUUCAAAGCAUACUGUUCUGUAUCAUUAUUUCUCUCCUUUUAGUGGAUUAAUGAUUUUUUUUUUUUUUAGAUGGCUAAAUUUCUACUGAUCCUUUAAUGUUUUAUUUAUUGCUGGAUGUUGGACAUACAUUUGUUUAGUUUCACAUAUUUUUGCCUCAAACUUCACUGGUCACUGGUUUGUUUCAAGAAUUCAUACCCUUCUUUUUCAUCUCGCUCUUGUUCAAUUGUGAUUUAGGAUUGAGUGGUAUUAGAUGUUAAAUCAUAGAACAUUAAUUUUGGAAUUGUUUGGGCUCCAUCUCAUUAAGGAUUUUUUUCCCCGUUUCAACUUCAUUACCAGUUCGAACUUAAAACUGCGCCAGCAGAUUUUCGAUUCCCAACAACCAACCAAACUCGACACUGUUUCACACGCUACAUUGAGUUUCACAGGUAAUUUAUUUAUUUAUUUAUAUAUUUAUUUAUAUAGACUUAAUACCACAUUCAUUUGUUGCUGCCGAGAAUGCAAUACUUUGAAUGGAUUUAGAUUUUGACGGUGUUAAACUGAUUAAUCGGCUUAGCUGCUCGUUGUGACAAAAAAAUGACAUAAAAUUGAACAAAGACUGACAUUGGAUAAAUGACGAGGAAAUCUUAUUUUUUCUUAUCUUUUUGGUAUAUUUGAGUUCUAUAUUGUAUCCUACCAGGGCUAGCACAUAAAUGUCCCUGUCCGUUCUGUAGAUUAUGAUUCGGCUUAUGUAUAUGUAUAAGCGUACACACACUGUGAGAGAGUGUGUGUGUGUGUGAGAGAGAGAGAGAGAGAGAGAGAGAGAGAGAGAAUGAACUAAAAUUGAUAAUUAUGGAUUUCGGAUGGGAUUGUAAGAGCAUCCCAACUUUGCAAGGAAAUUUCCAUAUUUUUUUGGUGCUUCAUCUGAUUAUCCACAAUUGGUGCCAAAAGAAGAAGGUUUUAGAAUGGUCGCCGGGUAAUUUAUUUCCGUCGCCAUAUGGGAAAUGUGUAGAAGGUGCAACCACCGACAUUGCACCCUAUAUAUACGAGAGAGUGCAUGUAGUCAUGGUGAAUGAGUGAAGUAAGAGAGAGAUGAAAGGGCUGAGUGCAUUAGUUGUGCUUUGAUCAAAAUUCAAGUGAGGUAUAGUUGUGUAUAUAUAACACUCAAUAAAGUUGUAUAAGUCUAUGAUGCUGGGACUUUGCAUUUUGGUCGGCAUACAUUUGUUGACACGACAUGGGUAUGGGUAUGAAAUAUGGGUGGAUUUUUCAAUUUUCAAGCGGGUAUGGCAAUUGUAAUUAUGUAAUUUCUAAUUUUUAUUUUAAUUUUGUGCUCGUUUUGUAGAUUUAUGCUGUUUUUGGUGUUUUAGACUUUCAGUAUAAAUUUCUAGUUGAUUUUAAUUAACAUGUUUUUAUCUUUUAACAAUUCGCCACUUAAUUAUUAUUUAAUUUUUUACACGUGAAUUACCUGGGACAUUCAAAAUUGAAGUGUGAAAGACCUACCGACGUACCCGUAUCCGAAAUUUGAAUUCUUUUUAGCCAUAUCCCCGUAUCCUAUAUUUUAGAAAAUAAAAGAUCCAACACUUAAAUACGUGCUCAUACCCGAGCCAAGAGCAUCACAGGUAUAUGUGUCCAAUUUUCUUGUAAUAGACAGAAUUUUUGGAUUAAAUUCAACAGGGAUUACAUGCUGUUGAUCGUUUUGGCACUGGAGGGUUUAACAUGGAGUAGUAGAUUUUACAUAACUGAUAUUUCAUUACAAAAUAUCUUAAAAUUUUACCAACGUAAUUAAAUAUUAUUUUAUUUCUUACGAGUUAGGCAAAGUCUCAAUUUCUAUAAAAUUUAAACUAGUUAUCAAAUUGAACUUAGCAAAUUAUUUUUUUAAUUAGUUGUUUUUGUCAUGUAGUUUGAUUUCGGUUCAGUUUUUGAUUCUUAUCCUUUAUCUCUUUUGAGUCAAUGCCUAAAUUGAUUUUAAAAAAAAAUUGUUUCUUUUUGCUUUUGGUGCUGCUUGUGUUAAUUCUUAAACAAUAACUAUCUAUAGAGUUAUCAGAUUAACAAAUAAAAGUUGGUAUUUGAAAAAAAAUAAAAGAAAGAAAAUCAAUCAGCUGAAUUUUGGAGAUACUUUUUUUUCCUUUUGAAAUUUGUUAACAUUUUCUCUUUUGUUUGCCUCCUCAAUCCACAUAAUCACACCAAUGUUUUUUUUAAUCUGAUUUUCUCUCUCAAUAUAUGCCCUUAUAUUGUUGAUUCAAAUAUGAGAAAAUUUCUUUAAACUCCUCAUCUCCACCCUACUAGAAUGGGCAAAUCUCUAUUAGUUGACUCCGCUCCUGCUUAAUUCAUUUCUUGGCUCUACUUCUGAUUUCAGUAUAUGUUAUAUUUAUAGCCCCGUCUGGGCAUAAUUUUAUAAAUUGAUUUAUAAAUUCAAUCAAAGUCAAACAUUAAUUUUAAUAACACAUUCAUAACUACUUACUCAUUUAUUAUCCAUACAUUUUGUGAGAUACAUUACUAUUCAUUUUUACAAAAUUUGAUUUAUAAAUUUGACAAAUGAAGGCUUAGUUGGGUAUCAAUCUUAUUUUUACACGUUGGAUGCAAACACACAUUCAUGAAUGGGCAUACAAUGGAUAGAGCAAACACAACCAUUUUGUAAGCUUGAAACGCGAUUUAUGGUUUUUACAAUGUUACAAGUCCAAUUUUUUAUUUUGUAUUCUAUUCUAUUUUAUGUUUUAUUUAUUUUUUGAUUUAGACAAAGAGCACCUCCAAAAGACUUUAUAUUUUUAGAAAAACAUCUAAUGUAUAAUAGAGAGCGUCUAUAAGUUAAAACCUUUUAUACACUUCAACAAUGGUCUCUAUUUUGGCUCUUAGUUUUUUUCCAAGAAACAUUUAUUGAUUUCUUCUCUCAUAUCUUAUUAAACAUAUACUGUUAUAUGUCCAAUGCAAAUGUGAUUUGAGCAAUUUGAGGAGUGGAGUAUUGAAAUUUAUAACUCAUUAAAUCCAAUCAAAAUAAAGUAAGAAUAGUGAGUAUUUAUAAAGCCAAACACACUCUCCACUUUAAAAAGUUAACAUAGAGGCUGUUGGAGCUAUUUAAGCACUAACUCUAGAGAGCAUAAUGUAUUUAGAGAGUAUCUUGGAGAUGCUCUAAGAAGUUAAGGGUAAGUGUAUUUUGUUGGAACCGUUAGUGUUCCUUAUUUUUAGGUGAACACAAAUGAUUUAUCUUGUAUUUAAAUUCCAAGCGGGUAAUAAUAAUAUAUGGAUGAAUUAUUUCUGCAAACCUAUUGUUUGUAAUUGGGAGGCCUAUUGGUUCCUGGAGUAUCAUUAUCUGGAGGUCUAGGUUUCCUCAAAUUAACCCACUUUUCAUCUUUUCUCAUACUAUUUUUGAUUAUUUCUAUCUGAGCAAUUCGUGUUUGUAUUAUAUGUCAACUGAACGGCUUUUUGGCCAGAAGAAGUUAUUCAUGUUAGAUUAUUAUUCUUGUCAAUGUGUAGCAUGUUAAUGUUAAGCUUUUAGUUGUCAUCUAUAUUUUUUUUUUUUUUUUUUUUUUUUUUUUUGGUGUUGGGUNNNNNNNNNNNNNNNNNNNNNNNNNNNNNNNNNNNNNNNNNNNNNNNNNNNNNNNNNNNNNNNNNNNNNNNNNNNNNNNNNNNNNNNNNNNNNNNNNNNNNNNNNNNNNNNNNNNNNNNNNNNNNNNNNNNNNNNNNNNNNNNNNNNNNNNNNNNNNNNNNNNNNNNNNNNNNNNNNNNNNNNNNNNNNNNNNNNNNNNNNNNNNNNNNNNNNNNNNNNNNNNNNNNNNNNNNNNNNNNNNNNNNNNNNNNNNNNNNNNNNNNNNNNNNNNNNNNNNNNNNNNNNNNNNNNNNNNNNNNNNNNNNNNNNNNNNNNNNNNNNNNNNNNNNNNNNNNNNNUUUUUUUUUUUUUUUUUUUUUUUUUUGGGUGUCGCUGUGGCAGCAGCAUGCUAUUCCAUGAGCUUAGUUGAUAGGAUGAGUUUAGGGCUAUUUCGUUUGGCGUUUGUGCUCUGGACAUGAUAGGGUGCCCAAAAGUUUGAUACAGGCUGCAACUCUUGAUAGACGAAUGUACCUGCAAGGCUUCAAAAACAUAAAAAGAAGCUGAAGUUUAGCUGUACGUGAUUCUAAAAGAAAUGUGUAUAAUUUUUCUUUUACCUGGAACUAAUUAACUGUGUGUUUACUGUCAGGUGUGUUACUGCUAAGGGAGAAGAAUCCGGUGAUUGUGGGAAGUUUGCCAGGUACUAUCGUUCCCUUUGCCCUGGCGAAUGGGUGAGUUAAUAUGCUACUGGGUCGAUUUCCUUAGACAAUCAUGGUCUUUAAUUGGUGCAAUAUGAUUUUAAAAUUUUGGUUUUUUGGUGCUAUGAUAAAUAAACACAAGUAUUAUCCCAUAUGCACACACAAACAUAAAUAACCCAUGUUUCGCACUUCGUAGUUGGUCCUACUUAUAACUGCAUACAUUUGUGUUUGACUAUGCAGAUCUCCUUUAUAAGAAAUUCAGAAUUGCGUGUGUAUGAACAAGUGAGAUCAUUUUUAAGAUAUCAAGUGAUGAAGAAAAAAUUAUUUUAUUUUUGACGUAAUAUAUUUUUCUUGAAGCCCAUUUAGCUCAAUGCUUAGUUCAAAAUAUGGACCUUUUCUCUAUAUGAUGAUGAAAGACGAGUUAUUUCCUUUUUCAAUCUCUCGAUCUCCACCCCCCCCCCCCCCACCCCCCCAACUUUUUGUUACAUCAAAGAAAAUGUUUACUGCCAAGGAUCCUACUUUGUUUUAAGUUUUGAGAUGGACUUCGUGCAAAACUCUUGAAGCCUAAAACUAAACGCAUUGCAGGGCCAUGAGAAUCUCAUGCGUUAAUAUCUUGGGGAGAAGUACUUAUUAAUUGUCAGAUACAGAAUUUGGUUAUAUUCAUGUCAAUGGCCGAACUUAAGGCAUCAAUUAGGUUCACAUCAAGUUCAAUGGUGACCUGUAAGGGUAUCAAAUGCGUUCUAUUUUUCAUACACACAAUCUUCAUCAUUUUUUAUUUAAUACCUGGUCAAAUAUUAGCGCUUAAUUGGUCUGUGAGAGUAAUACAGCAAUAAAUGAAUAUUUGGUAAUAAACUUAUUGUUACACACACUGAAGCCUCCCCUAUUUGUUAUUACAGUAUAUUUCCUUUAUAUGCCAUUGUUUGGUGGGAAUUAAAAUCAGAUUUUUGGUAGAAAUUGAUGAAAUGUGUGGUUCUUUGAAAAGUAGUGGGUCUCAUAAAUUGUUAACUCUGACUUGGAUUAAAAUCUUGAUUUAAAUUUUCACCAAACAGGGGCAUAUGUAUUUUCUGUAUUACUAACCCUUUUUUUUUUUAAUAAAUAAAAAGUAACUUUUUUUUGCACCAUAUCAGUAUGUGUUAUGAUAAGAUAAGGCACCGAUCGGUGUUUAUUAGGUGGUGGAUGAUUAACGAGAUCUCAUUCUACUGAAGCCAUUUCCAGUGCUCCCAAGAAGAUUUUACCCUUCAGCCUUUCUUCAAAGCUUUUAGAAUGAGUAAAUACCUAGACUCACUAAAGGGAAGAAUUAAUGGUAACUGCUGUGGAGAUAGAGCUAGACAUUGAAUUUAUACCUGGCAAAGUCGUGAACGAAAGUGCCUUUCGUAUGCAUUAAUGCAAGGGCAUGUGGACAUGGAUAUGGGAGUUUGAUGAAACGAUUUGGUUUUGCGAGAAAGUAAAGGAAAACUUAGGCUAUACUCAAUGUCAAUUAUUUUCUUUGUACGUAUAGGUUGAAAAAUCCCAUUUUCUUCUAUUGACUCCAAAGCCCCGUGUUCCCGCAAACAUCUAUGUUCAUCUUGGUAGGUGGUUAUAGUGAGAAAGAACGAAUAAACCUCCUUCAUGUUCAAUUACAUUUUAUAGAUAAAAAGCUAGAUGAUAAUAAUAACAAUCUUGCCAAUUGUAAUAUAAAUCAUUUUUUCCUUCGACUACAUAUCUUGUAAAGCCAAACCAUUUUGUCACACUCCCAUAUCCAUGGCAACUUGCACUUGGUUCUCUAAAUUUGUAGGGCACCCAUGGCUAAAUUGUGUGAUGUAAUUUGAUGGAUUUUGAUUCUUAUCUUUAUCAUUAUAAUAGUAAUGUUCACAUUUUUCUGUUCUGUUGCUAUUUGAUGUUCUGUGAACUUGUAAAAUCAAGUGAUUGAAUCCAUUCCCUAUGGGCUAUGCUUUAGCAUGGUUAUGAUACUCCAGUAGUUUGCAGAUGACUUGUCCUGAUAUGAAUUUAAAACCAUGACAUGCUUUCAGUUAACAACUGAGUGGUCUACCAGUCGAUCUUGUUGUUUAUCCUUUGGCUGACUAAUGUAAACGUUCGUUUGGUGCUACAAUAGCACAAACAAUUUUCUGCUAUUACUUCUUUGCAGUCUGCAGCUUUUGUAUCUGUUUAUUUCUUUUUCUUUCUAUUUUCCCCGUUUAGUUGAAAAUUAAUUGUUGAUUUUCAUUGACCUUUUUGGUUAUUGCAGGUUGAGAAGUGGAACGAGCAGAGGGAGAAUGGAACAUUCCCAGGGCCUCUAUAAUACAAAACCAUGUCAAGAUUGGUUGUGCAUUUUACCUUUUGGUUUGAAACUGUUAUUAUAAGUUAUUAAUUGAUUAAUAAGGCAUUAUUGCGAACAUGUUAUCGUUUAACUCUAAUGCUUCAUCGUUGCAUAUAAACAUGUUGGCCAAGACGAACUUUUGAGGAGUUUCGUCUGUUAACCCGUACCAUUUUUUGCUCGCUAUUAAAAGCAUUUGUGUUGAUUUUAAAUUUCUUGGCACUUUGGAUAUUAUUCUCUUGUGCUGUUGAAAAAAGAAUUAGGGUCCGUUUAAUUACAAAGACGGAAUUGAAUUGAAUUGAAAACAAAUUCCAGGGAAUUGAAUUACUUAGAAAUUGUUUUCCUGGGAAUUGUAAAUUAUUGUGUUUGAUUAAUAUAAUUUUUCACGUGGAAAGUGUUGAAAUAAAAUUGUUUUUUAGUAUUCUUUUGGCUUUGUUUUACAUAAAAAUUUUCGAUUAAAGGAAUAUAAUUUACUAGUAUAAGGGAUGGAAUUUGUUUCAAUUGUCAAGCAAAAAUAAAAAAAAAAAAUCAAGAAAAUCAUUUAUCUUUUGGUAUUUGUUUCACUUUGUUUUACAUGGAAAUUGUUAGUUAAAGAGAAAUAUUUUUUAAAAAUAAUUCUUAGAAUUUAUUUUCAUUGUCAAUGCAACAAAAAAUAAAUAAAAAAUGAAAAAAGAAUGCUACAGUAACCCGAAAAACGAAUUCUUACGAGAAUUUGAAUUCCAAAAAAAGCUAGAAAAUGCUGAUGUGGUGACCAAAGGUGAAAAAAACGAAUUCCUUGAAAAUUUUUGUCAAUUAAACAAGUCAAAAGUGGAAGUUAGAAUUUAUUUUUCAUUUUCCUUAGAAAAUAAGUGGCUAUCAAACAUAGCCUUAUUAUUUCUUGAUGACAAAGAAUGAAAACACCACUCAAUGCGGAGAAGCUAAAAUGUAAGUAAACCAAGUUUUAGUAAGAAGCAUAGGAAUACAAUGUGAUUAAUUGGUUUUAUUUUUUAUGGAAAAUAUUAUUUUUUUCCAUCGAAGUUCUUACUUUAGGAGUGUUUGAUUGGUAUUUUUUUAUGGAAAAUAUUUUUCAAAAGUUGGACAUGUAAUCAUGUUUUCUUCAAAAAGAAGGAAAAUAUAUUCUUUCGGGUGUAGGAUUUUUAUUUUUAAGGUAAUUUGCACUUUUUUAAAAUUCAACUUUAUGGAAAAGUUUGACAUUUCUAAAUUAAAAAUUAAGUUAAUCAAAAAUAUUUAAUCGACAAUUUUCUUACAAAUAAGUUUUAGACAAUUUAAUUGUGUAUUACUUAUUUUCUUUACAUAUGUUUCGCGCGGGUUAGUCGCUAACAAUUAAAAGGGAUCAGACGAUUGUGUAAGAGACAAACCUCUUGAAACAAAGUCCCAAAAAGGGGUGUUCUUUUAUUGGCGAUGAUUUUACAAUUGAAAAUCAAAAACAAAAUGCCUCCAAGGGGCGCAAGCACACGAGUUACUGAAAAAAGUGUUUAAGUUUAAGUUAAGGAAAUUAAAAUUACAUGUUCUCUGUUCGAGAGUUUUUGAUUCGGUCCUUUACUCUAUGUCUUUUCUCUCUUUUAUACUCCAUGGAUGAUCUUUUUUGUGAUCAACCGCCUAAAAACUGCUUGAUCGUUCUACAACUGCCCACUUUCCUCGUAAUGGCCAGCUUGUCAUGAAAACUGCCUUUUUUAACUGUUGUCAUUACUCUUCGUAGUUCAACCGUAUUCGAUUGAAUUGCUUGAAUCGUGGAACGUGAUAGGGCCACUUUAAUAACUGCUUUGAUAACUGCACUUCUUGAUAACCACAACGCUUUAUAUUUGUUAAGACCUUGGGCGACUUGAAGGUUUGGGCGAGAAUAGAGUAACGGCUCUGGACGAUUGCAUGGCACUCCAUUCGCUCAGAUUCUGGGCGACUUGCAAACUUGGGCGAUGGCGUUACCGCGUUCUUGGGCCUCCCUAUUUGGGCCUUCAUAUUGAAUUGUUUGAUUGAGUUUUGUUCAUUGGGCUAUCUGAUUUGGGGAUCCUCCAAUUGGGCUUCAUUCUUUGGGCCGUUCGAUUUGAGCUGAAUUUUUAUGUGUCAACAAUUACCCCCCAAUAUGGCAAAAUUAAUAAUAAUUAUUAAAUUUUGCUAUAUUCACUUUGUGUUUCCAGCGACAUUCGAGAUUUCCAAGAAUUUCAAUCAUUGUUUUCUUCCAUAACUUGAAAAGGUGCAUCGUUUUGCAAACUCUUAUAACCCCCAAACACGCCAUUUCACUGCACCAUUAAAUCACGCCUCAAUUUUUCGCGUCUCUCCCACGAUUUACUGUUCAUCUUUUGCUUCUCUGCUACGUAACUCUGAAAAACUUCGUUCCAUCUCAAAUGGCUACUUCACAAUCUCAAGCUGGCGACUCCUUUAGUUUUGAUGACUUUCAGAAACUUCUGAGUCGUCCAUACAUAACUCAGAGUUUUCUCGCGCCCGCCGAUGUCGAAUGCAAUGAGUUCUACUUAGGUCCUUUCUUCAACAAUGCAGAGGCAGUUGAACAAGCGGCGGUGGGUCAGCUGUUUCCUUGUACUCAAGGCCUUCCAUUUCUAAACUCUCUGUCGCUGGGGCCACUUCGCGAAAGAGGUAUUCGCACUUGGCCUAAAUCUGAUGUAGCUUUCUAUAGGUGGCAUGCUCGUCUUGUGGGCCAUGGUCCUACUAAGCCACUUUUUGAUAAUGCUAGGAUUUCUGAUUUGUUAGAAAUCUCUAUUCGUCCCCCUACUUUUGAUUCAACACUUUUUUCGAUUGCUUUGAGUUUUUGGUCUUCCGAGUAUAAUACCUUUAUUUUCCCUCUUGGCCCCAUGUCUAUUACUUUAAGGGAUGUUGGGGCCCUAGUGAAUCUACCACCUUUGGGCGAUACCAUUUUUCCUGGUAUCUUGGUUUCUGGUGGCGCCCCAAAGUUUGGUAAACUGAAUCUUAUUCAAGCUUGCAAACCCUUUACAAUCAUUCGAGCGCUGAGCCUUCCCAUACUGAGCGGGUGGCCUUUCUUCUAGUUUGUCUUUGUAAAUAUGUUUUGUGUGUGCCAAGCAUAAAGCCCUCCCUAAGUUAUUUACCCAUAGCGCACGAAUUGGCACGUGGCAGGCUUUUGAAUUUAUAUUCUUUCUUUUUGGCUACCCUUUAUAGAGGCAUGGCCUCUCUUCAAACUUAAUUGAAGAAUGGUGUAUCUCCCACUGGCAGUGGACCUCUUUGGUUCACUCAACUGUGGUUGAGAUCCUAUUUUCCAUUGUUUGGUGCUCCAUCAAUUUCUCGUUCCUCUGCUAGCUGCAAUGGGCUAGCCAUUGAGCCCUUGGCUCUUGUAAAUAUGUCCAGAAGGGACUUUUUUCAUUCUUUUAUUCUUUGGAUUCAAUCUCUUCCUUUUUUCCUUUUCCUCCUUUUUUGACUCCAAAUUAUGUACAUCCCCCUCCACUAUAGAUAGCGCGAGCACCUCCCCGCCCAUUUGGAUCCAGUUUUUAACCGGAAGGGAGCUAUUUCAUGAUAUUUUAACUGGGACCAAUGCUAAGGCAGGGGUAGAAAUUUAUGCUCCCCAAUUUUUUGCUCGCCAGCUUGGUUUUGGCCAAACUUGGCCUGUUCCUCCUUGCUAUUCAAGGAAUUUAAUUGACCGUUUUCGUAUUAUUAAUAAGGCGGAGGCAGAGGCUAUAAAUGCUCGCAAUCUUCUCUUAACAAGCUAUUUUUCAUUAGCUCCCUUCAAUUCUAGCCACGCCAUCCAUUCUCUUUUUAAACAGCUCUGGACGUAAGUGAAGAGCAGAUUGUUUGCGACUGAUGUCAAUCGUGCCUUUCAUCCACUGGACCAGCCAAGCAUUUCUUCCCCUCCUCCUGUUUUAGUCACUCCUUUGUCCAUCCGGAGUCCUUCUCUUUCUCGUCGCGCUAAACAGUCUGCUCGUCCAUCUUCUUCUCUCCCUGCCAAGCCUACUACAACCAAGAGUGCCCCAAGCCGCAAACGGCCAGCCUCAGCAUCUCCCAUUCUGGAGGAUGAUGUUGAUGAUGAUGAUGAUGAUGAUACUCCUCUUAUCGUCAGGAGGAAGGUAAUUAAAUUGGUUUACUCACAAGCAUAUUUUUCCAUAUUUGAAACUUUUCUAUGUGUUGAUGACUUAUUUGGAUUCCUCAGAAAUUUUCAGCUUCUCCUUUAAAAGCUUUGGCAUCGGCAUCUUCUGCUCCAUCAUCCUUUGCUGAGGCUGCUUCAUCCAAACCGGUUGAUGAGGGGACUACACUUAGAGAGACAUUUUCCGUCCUAAAAUCCUCAUCACAACCCAUGGAUGAGCCACCUUCUUCCCAGGGCGUCAACCCCCCAAACAUCGAAGCAGAAGGUAAUUCAGUUUUUUGAUGCCUUACCUUUGCUUGUGCUAUUGGUUUCUGAUUUGUUGCUCUUGAGUUCUGCAGAUACUCCUAUGAGUCUGUCUGUUGUGGCAACAUCUUCUCGCUCAGACAAGGGGAAGUCCUCACGAAUGGAGGAGUUAUUAGUGGCAGGCUUGGCUGAGGACAUGCCAUCUUCCACGAUUGUUGAUAAGGUAAUCUUUGCUUCAAUUUUAUUUCCAUUUUGUUCGUUGUAGUGAGAAUCUUCAAUAUUGGCAAUUUUCUUUGCAGGAUGCUGACAAGAUUGUGCGUUCUAUCCAAGACUUGUUCGCUUCCUGGGGGCAAGUCAAGACAUCUCGCCCUACUCCAUCUGAUCGUCCUGCUGCUUCUUCAGAGGAAGAUUUGAAGUUCCUCAAGCAGUCGAUAUUUGAGUACAUGUCCUUCAUGGAUAUGGACAUUGGUAGGGCUAGUGCUGCCAGACAUAAUGAUAAACUUGAGCAUUUGAAUGCGAAGUUGGAGCAAGCACUGACGCUUCCGUCGCUCAAUCUUUCUGUCGAUUUUAAAGCGACGUUGAAGGUUAUCCACUCUGAGGUCCUUUCCUUGCUAGCCAAGAAUGCUGAACUAAAGGCCAAAAGUACUCAAUAUCUUCGCGCCGUAUCAGAAAAAGAGUCUCUGCGUCUGGAGAUCAACAAGGCUGAGGAUGAGUUGAAAGAGAUCUCUUCCGAAGUCAUGAUUGAAGACUCUUUGAUGGUUAGUUUGGCUGCUCAGAUGAAGGAACUUCAAGCCAAAAUGGACGACUGCAAGGCGAGAAUAGCUGCUAAAAAGCUCAACGCCUCCCAGGGGAUUGAGCGAACUAAGCAAUUGGUUGAGCAAUACAAGAAGUUGGAAGUUGAUGAUGAUGUCGUGGCCGAAUUGAACAUCACUUCCUCUCGAUAGAACAAGGAUUGGGAAAAAUUUAGGGAACGAAUUCGUUCAGUGUGGGGUGGACUGUAAUUAAGACAUACGAUGCCUUUUUCUUUUGUAAUUUGAUUUUCCCUUUGUAACUUUGUUCAUCAUUAAUGAACAUAUAUGUUAACUUCUUGUGUAUUUAUUUGACGUUUGUUUUUUAAUCGUCAAUUCUUCAAGCAUUUAACUGCUUUGUGCUAAAAAAAUCUUGCCCAUUUUCUUUUGAUAUUUCCACCACUUUUCUCAAGACUUUGGGCUAUUUAAUUUCAUUUACUAGGUAGAAUGUGGCUGCUCAUAUUCUGUCUCUUCAUCUCCACCCCCCUAUAAAUGCACAUAUGCUUCGCAUUUUUCAUUUUCCAUCUUCGUCUUCAUGUUCUUCUUCGAAACCAAUUUGCUGCCAUUGUUUGGCACUCUAACAAUCAAUCCGAUCCGAAACCUUCGUCUUUCUAUAAAAAUGGAUUGUUUAGUCCGCCCAUUUUACUAUUUGCCUUGAUGUCACCUUUGGUGUGGGAGGUAUAUGAAAUAUUUUUUGGCCAGUAGCAAAGUUUUUACAAUCGAAGUUCUUCCCAUCGUCUCUUUGUCCUUUACAAGGAGUCGAUGAUAGAAGACAAUUUUUGGGAUGCUUGCAGGCCACCUUGCUUGCUGAGAGUGCUUCUCAACCUCUUUACCCGCCAUUGCAGUGAUGCAUUUAGGAAGGUGGUGAGGCCAGUCCACCCUCUUACUCGGCGAUCCCACCAUUGCAGCGAUGCAUUUAGGAAGGCGGUUUGAAGCUAGUCCACCCUCUUACUCAGCGAUCAACCGAGAGAUUAGCCUACUUUUGAUUGUAGUUUGUAGAGCAUCCAUUAUUUGUAUUUUUGUAUCUUUGUAAUGAACGUUUGAUAAUAAAGGACUUUAUUUGAACGUAUUUCGCUCUGACCUUGUUAUCCUUAAUCGUUCAACAUAUUUUGAUUAUACUUUUAUCUGUUCACAUUCCCAUAAAGAAGGAACAUAUUUUUUCAAAUAUUUGCCGUUAAUGAAUCUCACGUGCUUGGUGCCAUCUAAAUCUUCCAAGUGAUACGCCCUACUGGGUAACACACUGUUUAUUUUGUAUGGUCCUUCCCAAUUGGGCGACCAUUUUCCGUAUUUUGGAUCCUUGCUAUCCAAAGGGAGUAUCGUCUUCCAAACUAGUUCACCCAGGCUGAACGACUUGGCUAUGACUUUUUUAUUGUAAAACUUAGCCAUUCUUUGUUUUUGAACUUGCAAUCUAUCUAAGACGUCCAACUUUAAUUCGUCUAACCCCAAUAAAUUUUGAACUAGUGAUUCGGCAUACUUAUCAUCAUUCAACUUAUGUUGCAAGCACACUCUAAUUGAUUGUACGUUGAUUUCCAUAGGCAAAACGGUCUCCUGCCCAUAAACAAGUUGGAAAGGAGUAACUUUGGUACUUGACCGAGGUGAUGUUCUAUAAGCCCAUAAGGCCUUGUUCAGACAUUCGUGCCAAUUUCUGGCAUUUCAUCUAUCAUCUCUCUGAUGAUAUUUUUUAGAAUCUUAUUAGAAGAUUCCGCUUGUCCGUUGGAUUGAGCGUAGUAUGGUGUGGAGUUUACUAAUUUAACCCCAAACUCGCUCAAAAAUUUGUUCACUUGAUCCCCAUUCAAAGAUGUUUCGUGAUCUACCAUUAACGUUUGUGGAAUUUCAAACCUAUAAAUGAUGUGAUCAAUGAUAAACUCUAUAACAUUUUUCUGGGUGAUCUCUUUAAAAGGUACCGCUUCUACCCAUUUGGUGAAAUAGUCGGUUGCAACCAUAACAAAAGUAUGUUGCUUGGACGAUGGGGGAUAAAUCUUCCCUAUCAGGUCUAUCGCCCAACCCUUGAACGGCCAAGGUUUAAUAAUAGGUGCUAUCUCUCAUGCUGGCGCCAUUUGUUUUGGACCAUACUUUUGGCAUGCUAAACAACUCUUUACAUACUAAACGCAUAAUUCUCCCAUCUUUGGCAAAAAAUAUCCACUCCUAAUAAUUAACCAUCUCAUCCUUUAGCCAGCUUGAUGAGCUCCACAUAUUCCUUUGUGCACCUCAGCCAUGAUCGUCUUGGCUUCUUGCAAACUUACACACUUUAGUAAUACACCAUCAGAGCGUUUCUUAAACAACUCUUCAUCUAAUAGUGUAUAGUUCAGCAAACACAGCUUCAUUCUCCUACUAAUCCCUCCAUUAGGCUCCUUAAGGAACCUUUUAAUAUCUGUUCUCCAAUCUAUUGCAUCUUCAUCUUGUAUGCAGUGAAGUUCAAUCUUUCUCACCCUUCUUUGAGUCAUGGGCAAUAUGAUUUCAUACUCACAAGUAGACUUCCAAUUCAAAACCUUUAAGUAUCCUGAGGCCAUUUGGGUUAACUCAUUUGCUACGUCAUUAUAUAUCCUAUUAACGCAUUGAAAUUCUACUUGGUCGAAUUUUUCCAACAACUCUUGGGCGAUCUCAUAUUGACUUAUAAUGGAAUCACUUUGGCAUUUAAAAUCACCAAUCAAUUGGUGGAUUACCAAUUGAGAAUCGCCUCUAACGAUCACAUUUCUUACUCCCAUAUCUAUCAUUAGUUCUAGACCUACAAUUAAGGCUUCAUAUUCGGCCUGAUUGUUGGUGCACAUUCUGUCUAAAGUGAAUGCGAACUUAUAGCAAAUCCCUAAAAGAUUAAUCAAUGCUACUCCUACUCCUGCACUUUUAGAGAUUUUUAACCCAUCGAAAUAUAACACUCAAGGUUUUAACUCGAACGAAUUGAUUUCUAGUUCAAUUGCUUCAGGCAUGUCAAGGCAUGGAUGAUCGGUUGGAAAAUUAGCCAAAGCCUGAUUUUUGACUGCCUUUUGAGGUAUAUAUUGUAUCUCGAAUUCUGAUAAAGCAAGUGUCCAAAGGCCUACCCUUUGGUGUAAAAUAGGGCGCGGAACAUAUACUUAACUAAAUUUACUUUAGAAAUUAAAUAAACGGUUACGGGCCGUAAAUAAGCCCUUAAUUUUGUACAUGUGAAAUACAAUGUCAGACAUAAUUUUUCGAUAGCAGAGUAAUUACAUUUACAUUUCGUUAACCGUCUACUUAAGUAGUAAAUUGCCCUUUCUUCACCAAAUUGGUCUUCCUGUGCGACCAUUCCAGCUAUUGAUUCUUUUUCAGCCGAUACAUACACUUUCAUUGGCCGUCCUUGGAUUGGUGACACCAACACUGGUGGAUUUGAUAAAUAUGUCUUCAGGCAUUCAAAAGCCUUUUGAUCUUCUUCUUUCCAGACGAAUUCGUCCUGAUUUUUCAGCUUUAAAAGUGGCGAAAAAACUUUAGUUCGCCCUGCACAGUUAGAAAUAAGCGUCUUAAAAAAUUUACUUGGCCUAGAAACCUUUGCAAUUCUUUUUUGUUGCUAGGUGGUUUGGCCUCUAAAAUGGCCUUCGCUUUAUUUUUAUCAAGUUCAAUCCCUCUCUUGUGUACUAAAAAACCAAGAAAAUUCCCUGCAUUAACACCAAAUGCACACUUCAAGGGAUUCAACUUUAACUUAUAUUGCUUCAUUCGCUCAAACGAACAUCUUAACUGUUCGAAAUGGUCCUCUUUUUUAAUAGACUUGACUACUAUGUCAUCUACAUACACUUUAACAAACUUGCCUAUCAUAUCAUGAAAGAUUAAAUUCAUUGCCCUUUGAUAAGUUGCCCCUGCAUUUUUUAGGCCGAAAGGCAUAACCACCCAUUCAAAACAUCCUAGAGACCCAGGGCAUCUAAAGACAGUUUUGUGUAUAUCUUCUUCAGCUAUAUAGAUUUGAUUGUAUCCUGAAUACCCAUCCAUGAAAGAAUACAUGACAUGUCCGGCAGUCGAGUCUACUAAAGAAUCCACCGUGGGCAUUGGAUACUCAUCUUUGGGUGUAGCUAUGUUUAAAUUCCUAAAGUCUAUACACACCCUUAGUUUACCAUUCUUUUUUAGUACUGGCACGAUAUUGGACAACCAUUCGACAUAUCUAGCUGUUCUAAUAAAACCUGCUUUCAGUAAUCGCUCUAUCUCUUUCUUGAUUUCAGGGAGUACAUUGGGAGCAAAACGUCUAGAAAGCUGCCAAUGAGGUUUAAAGUUAGGCUUAGUUGGUAACCUAUGUUCCACCAAGUCUCUAUCUAAACCAGACAUUUGUUCAUAUUCCCAAGCAAAACAAUCUUUGUACUUUUUUAGCAAAGCGAUUAAUUUAUUACUAAUCUCAUGAUCGAGCAUCUGGCUGAUGAAUGUUGGACGAUCUUCUCCUUCAUUGCCAAUAUUUACUUUGAUCAGAGGGUCUUGUGCUUGAGCGUAUCCAAGUUUGACGAUCCGCAUCACUUCGUUGUCCAGUUCCCUUGUAAGUACUUCCUCUUCUAAACAGUCCACCUUGUUGACUUCUCGGCCAAUGCUUUGUUCUAACUCGAAUACUGCCAAUUUGUCCUUCAGCACUUUUAGGGCUGUCUCUUCUUUCGCCUUGUCAUUGCAUUCCUUAUUGAAAGCCAUUAAUCUGACUUUGAAGGCCUGAAUGUCGGCCAUUUGCUUUUGUAACUUAGAAUCCAUUCAAGACUCCUUGAUUAUUCUUUUGCUAAUUACUAGCUCUUCUAGGGCCACUAUAUUUGGCCUCAUCUGUUUGAACAUUUCAGUGAGUGCGUCCACUGAGAAUGGUUCUUCGCUUUGCGCGAUAAUUUGAGUUUCUUCCCCAUCUUGUACUAUCCUGACAGGUCCAUAGUUUCCUUCGUACAUGAACUUUUCCACCGAGUUUGCUUCUGCGACAAAAGGCCUAUGAUCGGCCUGUACCACCUCUACUUCGCCUUUGUUAUUCCAAAAGAUCAGGCAUUGAUGGAGCGACGAGGGUAUACAGCGACUUUCGUGUAUCCAAUCUCUUCCUAGUAGCACAUUGUAACUAGUAGGACCAUCUAUUACAAAGAAGACAGUGGUCCUAGUAGUCGUCCCUAUAGUUAUGUCCAAUGACAUAACUCCCUUAGUUGAAGUUGCUCCUUCAUUGAAGCUCGUGAGGAUGACUUCUGUAGGAAUCAUGUCACCCUCUGUCUUUGCGAACUUCCUCAUCAUCCUAGAUGGAAUGAUGUUUAUAGCUGCUCCAUGGUCAACAAGCACUUUUGCUACUAGGACGCCGUUAACUAGAGCUCUAACGUAUAAUGGCCUCAAGUGUUUAGUCAUUUUCAUGGCUAGCCGUUUAAAAAUAACCUUUUCGGCAACCCCUAUUUCUACUUCCUGCUUGUUUUCUGUCGAAUUAUCCCCCUGUGAUAAGUCGACGUGCAGUAUAUCGCACUGAUCCUCUGUCUCCUGAACUUCCUUCUUACUUUUUUCUAAUGCUUCCUCAUCAGUUACCCAGCCUGUGGGAGGGGACAUUAUUCUUGGAGGUGACCCAUACUUUUCAGAGCGAGAGACUCUCUUCUUCCUUUUGGGUGUCCCAUAUAGUACGUAGAAAUCGAAAGGACGUCCAGAUGGUUCUCCCAACAAGUCUAUUUCGCAAACUCCCUUUCGAUGUAGUUGCUUCAACAGAGUAUUGCGCGAUACUCCUCUCUUUCUUCCUUCCGCUUCUAGGUCGAUUUCUUCUUCAAUGUCUGUCAUCCCGUCGUCCUCUUCAUCAUUGCAGGCCUCUCUAGAAGUCUGGCCUUUUUCACAUUCCAGCACACAAACUUCUCCUUCAUUGUUCUCCCUCUCUUUUUCUUUUUCUUUAUUCUUGAAUUCAUUGACUAAUAAGUAAUUAUUGGCCACAACAGGAGGCAACGUACCGAAUUGGAUAGUAAGGGGCUGAUCUGGAUCUUCUCCAUCCCUUCUGUCUCGCUCAAACUUUGAUCUCCCAGAAGAAGUUUCUAGCAGUUCCUUCAUUGAUUCAUCUGUACCGGUCUCUUCACUAUCUUUGAGGACAUUUUGAUUGGCUACUUUGAGUAGUUUAGACGCUUUAGGAUGUGGCACUCCCUGUUGCUGCCUCAUAAUCCGUCCAUAAUUUCGUUGGAAACGCCUUUGUUGGGUUCUAGUAAUCUCAUCGAAGAGUAUUGCCCUUCCUGCAUUAUACUGGAAUGAAUGCCAUACAUUUGGCCAGCGAGGUUGCAGCCUGAAUGUUCUUCCAUUAUCUGCUGGCCUGAACUGCCUCUCAAAAGGGUGUCCUCUAUAGAAUGAUGUACAUCGCCCUCUACCAGGCUGAGUGUUUAGGAAGAAGGUAGGGCGAUGAGGAUGCUGCCAUAUCCCUGGUUUCUCCGUGUUGCCAUGCAUUUCUCUUUUACAUCUUGCAUACAGGACGUCUUCGUUCUUUUUUGACUCUUUCCCAUUUAUUCGUUCAAAGACACUGGGUUGUGGUCUAGGAUCCCCUUCUCCAUCAUCUACGACCAACUUGAAUUUUGGCAACUUGUUUUUGAAUCCAGAUGUCACCAUGUUCACUCCAAGUGGCUGUGGAAAAGGAUUUUCAUCCACUGCCAUCUUCUUCUUAUCGUCGAACGUAAUUCGUCCUGAUUCAAUGGCAUCCUGCAAUACAUGAUGAAAAACCAAGCAAUUGUUAGUCAAAUGUGACCAUGCAUUAUGCCACUUACAAUAUUUUUUACCCUUAAUUUGUUCAGGGUUUGGCAAUUUGUGCUUAUCGCUCAACUUUAUCUGCUUAUCCCUAUAUAAUUUAUCAAUUAUAAGGUCAGCCUUGGUUACAUCGAACGAGAACGUUCUAGCCUUUAUGAUUCCAUCUUUUAUGGGCUCAUCUUUGUCCGAUGGUCUAGGCUUGGCCAUUAUGGGACAAGUAUACGUAUCUCCUUUGACCGAUUCGGCCAAACACAUUUCGGCCUGGUCGUAUGACUCGUCACUGAUGGUAUGAACAUAAAAAUUUGGGUCUUUGUAAUAAGUCCCUUUACUAGAAUUUUUCAUCUGUUCUUCCUCUCUUAUCAGUCGUUCAUACCUAAUCACAUUCGCACUCAACUGGAAAAGGUCAGGAAAUUCCUUGUCCUGGAAUUUCUUUUUUAAAUCAAAGCUCAAACAGCCCUGAGCGACUUUGACAAAUUCUUUUUCAGGCAGAGGUACAAAACAUUUGCUUCUUGCUGUCUUGAACCUUUGGAGAAAACUUUCUGCCCAUUCGUCUGGCAUUUGACGUAGAUUCGCCAAAUCUGCCAAAGUGACUUCAGACUCAGUUUUAUGAAAUUGAGUGUAAAAUAACUGUUCCAAUUGUUGCCAUGUUUGAAUAGAGUUCGCUGGCAAGUUGAUGAACCAGGAGAAAGUUAUUCCUGUUAACGAACUAGGGAAAAGCCUCAUUUUAUGGUAAUCGGUUAUAUCACCACUUUGCAAUGUGAAUCGCCCUAUGUGUUCUAGAGUAGACACCUCUCCUAAACUGGUAAACAGUGAGAAUUCUGGCACUUUGUACCCUCUUGGCCAUGGAUAUGCUUGGUCUACCCAAUCAGGAUAUGGCUUUGUGUAAGUCGGCCUAAUGACGGGACACACCCUAAAAGCCAUCUGAUCCUGUACGAUUUCCAUAAUCUGAUUCCUCAACAUGACGUUGGGAUCAUAUGGAAUUCCUAUAGGCUGGUUAACCGGUUGAUUUGCAUGAGGCCUGAUAUUUGGUCCUUGAUUGGCAACAAAAUUACCAUGAUUAGGACCAUUACCAUUAGCCUGAACAUCUAUUCCCUCAUUAACACGUGGAGUAUUCUGUCCAUUGUUUAAGACAUUAUCUCUUAUGUUUGGAUUACCCCCCAAGUUAGGCAUACUACUACCAUUGUUCUGAUUUGGCACUGCAGUACCCCCUUGGUUUGAAGUAGAGGGACCAGAAAGUGGUUCUAUCCCUUGAUUCGGAUUUAGGACUGAGGGAUUAUGUCCCACAAUUGUCCUAAUUUGAAAGUGAUUUGCAAGAGGUAUAACCGGUUGACAUAUUUGGCCUACUAACUUAUUCAUUGUUUCGUUCAAAGUGUUUAGUUGUUUGGCCAUAUUGUCAUAGUGUGCAUUCCCAUUUUGGGUAAAUCUUUCCAUAUUAUGAAUACUUCGAAGAUUUACCUGUUCAACAAUGUCUUGUGUGAGUUCUCCAAGUAAUGCACGCAUGGUUCGAGAACUCAACUCCGUCAUUGGUUCGUAAUGACUGUUACUGCUCUGAUUCUGUCCAUCUGUUCGUGGAGAGGCAUGCUGCUCCUCAUAUCACUCGAUCACAGACUGGACUCCUCCCUGACUUGCUGUUUCCUUAUCGGAUCUCUGAGGCAUAUUGUUUCAUCUUUUGUACUUUCAACACCAAACACCACUGUUCCACUGGGCGUGCCAAAUUAUUUUGCGCGGGUUAGUCGCUAACAAUUAAAAGGGAUCAGACGAUUGUGUAAGGGACAAACCUCUUGAAACAAAGUCUCAAAAAGGGGUGUUCUUUUAUUGGCGAUGACUUUACAAUUGGAAAUCAAAAACAAAAUGCCUCCAAGGGGCGCAAACACACGAGUUACUGAAAAAAGUGUUUAAGUCUAAGCUAAGGAAAUUAAAAUUACAUGUUCUCUGUUCGAGAGUUUUUGAUUUGGUCAUUUACUCUAUGUCUUUUCUCCCUUUUAUACUCCAUGGAUGAUCUUUUUUGUAAUCAAUUGUCUAAAAACUGCUUGAUCGUUCUGCAACUGCCCACUUUCCUCGUAAUGGCCAGCUUGUCAUGAAAACUGCCUUUUUUAACUGCUGCCAUUACUCUUCGUAGUUCAACCGUUUUCGAUUGAAUUCCUUGAAUCGUGGAAUGUGAUAGGGCUGCUUUAAUAACUGCUUUGAUAACUGCACUUCUUAAUAACCACAACGCUUUAUGUUUGUUAAGACCUUGGGCGACUUGAAGGUUUGGGCGAGAAUAGAGUAACGGCUCUGGGCGACUGCAUGGCACUCCAUUCGCUCAGAUUCUGGGCUACUUGCAAACUUAGGCGAUGGCGUUACCGCGUUCUUGGGCCUCCCUAUCUGGGCCUUCAUAUUGAAUUGUUUGAUUGAGAUUCGUUCUUUGGGCUAUCUGAUUUGGGGAUUCUCCAAUUGGACUUCAUUCCUUGGACCGUUCAAUUUGGGCUGAAUUUUUAUGUGUCAACAACAUACAAAUUUUAUGCAUGCAAUUAAACACACUAAGAUUGAAAUUAUAACAAGUAUAAGGUUCUUAUGCACCGUGGUAUGUUCUCUUCAGCUUGACUCGUAGACCCCAAACUGUUUAGUGCUUAGGGUAUGAUGCUUGCCUUGUCAAUGGCCAGUUUCAAUACGAAAAUAGUCAUAAUCCUCUUUCGAUCACUCAUUUCAUUAUUUAUUUAUUUAUUUAUUUAUUUAUUAUUAUUAUUAUUAUUAUUAUUACAUAAAUAUAUUAAAAAUCUUAUCUAUAAUCAAACCAAAUCAAACAAGUUUAUAUUAUCAAAAAAAUUAUUUGUACAAUUGUGACUGACAAUAUUGAAAUUGUCAAAAUUUGGACCAUUGAUUUAAAAAAGGGUCUUAAAAUGAAUAAAAGUUCUUAGCAAGAAAAGUUUUGACAUGUUGGUUGACGUAUCUUACAUGCAAUGGGACCUAUGUGGGAUUCGUUUGAAUAAAAAAUGUCAAAAAUGUACACCCACCCCAUCCUAUUGUGAGCAUCUAUCAAGAAGGGUGUUCAUCAAGAUAGUUUAGCUUUUUUAAAAUAGAUGAAUGUGAUAUUAUCAAACGUGCGUUUAUCAACUAAAAUUGUAAAAAAAUAUUAUAUAGAUAGCAUGAUUAUUAUAUUAUAUAGUAGUGUGAUGCAGUGGCUAACAUAAUCAAUUCACAUUGAAAACUUAAGCAAAGAACACAAACAAAUUAAGAGGGUGUUUGGUAGGGAUUAAAAUUAGAUUUUUUUAGUAGAUUAUGAUAGAAAUUUUUGAAAUGUGAUUGAAAAGUUAUGGGCUUAUAAAAGAUGUGAUUAAUAUUAAUUGUUUUACUUUGACUUAAAUUAAAAUCAAAUUUAAUACGUACCAAACGAGUUUGAAAUUAAAAUAAGCAGUUGACUGACGUUCUACUUUCUGCAACACCGUAUUUGCACCGCUGUAACUAUUCUCAUUUUUCCAUGGACUUUGUUUGGCGUACAAGAAACCCUUUGAAACUCCUUUCAAUUGUUCCAUGAAGUAAACAAUUUACAUAAAUUAAACCCUUUGGCUGUAUUUUUAUAUAUAUAAUUUUUUGAGUAAUGAAAGUAGAAUAACUGUGAAUUUAUGAAUGGAAAUCAUGGAGCGAUUGGAUAUACAUUUUUUUAUAUAAUAAUUUUUUAAUAAAAUAUCAAUAAAUUUAUUAUACACGAAAUGGAUGUUAGAAGACAAAUUUUCCAAAAGAAAUUAAGAUCAUACUGGAAUUGAUAAGAUAAAAAUUAUAAUCAUAACAUAAUAUAUAGAAAUAAUUUGAAAUGACAUUAAAUUAAAAAUAGGUGUAAGAAGUAGUAGUUAAGCUCAUGUCAUCUUUUACAUUUACUUAACGACGAGCUCCUAUCAAUGAUAUUAAGAAAGUUAUAUUAGUCCCCACGGCACAUCUCCAAGUGGUGAAAGGGGAGGGUGGAGAAAUUUAACUUUACUUGAGGCUGUCGCGUCAAGGGUUCGAAUCCUGAAAUAUGGAUUUGGCUCUUGGGUAAGUGCAAGUGUACAAGCAGCCUUCCACGCUGUACCCUUGGAGGCAUAACCUGCGAUUUACCUCCCUCACGAUACUCCAGGGCAGGGGCGGUGGAGGACCCUCAAGGUUGGAGUUCAACAUUUUUUUUUAAAGAAAGUUAUAUUAUAAUUAUAAUUACCUGAUUAGAUCAGACUGCCCACUUUACAAUUUUAGCGAAAUUUGAGAAUAUAAAGCUCAAUCAAAUACGACUUUAGUGAAAAAACCAAUUUAUUUUCCUCAAAUUCCUUAAUAAGUAGAAUAUGAAAGGGAAAUAAUUUAUUUUCCUCAAAACCUAUAUAAUAAGGGCCUGUUUGGGCCCGAUUUUUUCCCAAAAAAAAUUGAUUUUUUGAUCGUUAUUUUACUAUUCCAGUCAUCAUAUUUGACUUCUUCUCUUACAGGUGGACCCCACUUUUCUCUUAACGGUCCAAAAAUCAAUUCUUAAAAUUACUCCCAAACAGGUUCUAAGUAGAUGAAAGGGAAAACGAAAAAAAAAAAAAAUUAAUAAUAAUAAAAAAAAUCCGUCCGUCACCGCCAACGCAUCAACUGGGACACCACGUUUUCCCACUCUACCAUCAGAAAGCGAGUGGACUUUUCAACUGUAAUCUCCACGCGUCAUCUGGUGAUUCCCAUCAUAGGAGGUGGCAUAUGGCUCUCAAAACAAGCCAACACAGAGUGCGAGCGGUUUCUUGACAAACCCGUAAUCGCUUUGGGAGUGUUUAUUCUGCUUGUUUCUUUGGCAGGUUUAGUGGGAUCAUGCUGCAGAAUUACAUGGCUUUUAUGGGUUUAUCUCCUUGUCAUGUUCUUGUUGAUUGUCUUGCUAUUUUGCUUCACAAUCUUUGCUUUUGUGGUUACAAAUAAAGGGGCCGGAGAGUCCUUAUCUGAUAAAGGCUACAAAGAAUACAGGCUUGGAGAUUACUCUAAUUGGCUGCAGAAACGGGUCAACAGUGACAAGAAUUGGAAUAAGAUUAGGAGUUGUUUGCAAGACAGUAAGAUUUGCCAGAGGCUGCUGGAUGAUGGCUCCUCCACCAGAGUUGAAGAUUUUUACAGGGAACGCCUCUCUGCUCUUCAGGUAAAUACAGCAUACAUAAGUUUUGCAUUAUUUGGUUCUUGGAAAUUCAUUGUAAACAAGAAAACUUAAGAUCCUUCUCUUAAUUAUAUGCAAUAAAUCUAAUUGCUUUUAAAAGUUGAUGGGGGAUCUGAUCUCUUUUUGAGCGAAUAAGGAAUAAAUAUCUCUUUGUUUGACAUAUUCUUAUACCAUAGAGGUUUGGGUCACGACACCACUCACAAACUUUAUUUAUUUAUUAUUUCCUUUGAUACUUCUUCCAACACGUUUCUCACAUGUUCUCCUCAAUUCAUUGUCUUUUAUGAAUUAUUCUUUUCCUUCAAACCUCUGAGUGAGUUAUAGCAAAGUGUUAGUGAUUUGAGCAACAAUAAUAACGAUGAAGAAUAUGAAAUCGACAAAGAAAUGUAAUCUUACCCCUGUUUGAGCCACAUUUUUACCUCAUUAAAAUAAAAAAUAUGAUUAUUAUCCAUCACAUUAAGCCAUUAUUUUUGAAUUUCUAUCUCUGAUAUGAGGUCCAUAACGGCUCUAUUUUUCAUUCUCAUUUUCAUUAUAAUGUGGCUCAAACAGACUCUUAAUGUCAAACAGAACUUCAGUGUACAUAUCUAUUAGUAUACUUCUGAUGGUUCAACUUUUAUAUAAGCUGUGACAAUUAUUUUCUUGUACGUCCAUUCCCUCUCUAAUAUAAUAUUCUAAUCAUGUUCGCUAGUUAGCUGAUCUUGGAUUUGCCAUCCAGUUUCUUUCGUUUUCGUAUUCGAAAACCCAACUUCUCUAUCAAACUUACUAAUACUGCUCUUGUAUCAUUUCUUCAGUCUGGUUGCUGUAAACCAUCAAACGACUGCAACUUCCAGUAUGUUAGCCCGACCAACUGGACUAGGACCUCUCAAUCGUCGUCAACGAAUUCCGACUGCGCUAAGUGGAGCAAUGACCCUAAUGCUUUGUGCUAUAGCUGCCAAUCAUGCAAGGCGGGGUUGCUGGAUAACAUCAAGAGAGACUGGAAGAGGGUGGCCGUCAUCAACAUCAUAUUCCUAGUCUUUCUCAUAAUCGUCUACUCCGUUGGAUGCUGCGCUAUUAGAAACAAUCGGGAGGACAACGGAUGGAAACGAUAUCCUUGAAUGUGUCCAUAAGAUUCUGGCUUGAGUAGAUAUUUAGUAGUAUCGGAACUGAUCUCCUGCGUACACUGUGCAGGAAAUAUCUCCUGUUAGUAGUACAUCUCUAAUUAUUUCUGGUGUUUGUAGCAUUGUCCUAAAGGUUUAUUAGGUUUAUGGUACACUGUUUUCAUUUUGUUUUUCAGACCUUAUAUAUCUUGAUUUUCUAUGUAUGGCCCCGUUUCGUACACAUUAAUGUAAAAAUGAAAAUAAAAAAUAUAGUCGUUAUGAAUUCAAAACAAGAAAUAGAAAGUCAAAUAUGAUGACUUGAUGCGAUUGAUAAUAAUCAUAUUUUUUAUUUUAAUGGACAAAUAAUGAAAAACAAACGGUAGCAUUUCCCCUACAAGUUUGUCAUUGUACGUACAGAAGUUCGUGCUAAUUUAGUGACGGUAAAUUUUAUUCAAUAUUCCUUAUCAAACAUACGAGUAAGUAGUUAAGCUUAAAAUUUGAAAUAGUUAAAUUUGAAAAUUUAUUAAAAUCACAUGGUCUAGUAGUUUGAAGAGAACUGAUAUAAAUUUCAUAUUAUUAUUUCAUACUUAAGGGAUUAAAAUAAUUUUAAAAUAAGAAAACAUUUUUUCACACUUUUCUUAUACCUAUGCCUCUUCUAAAAUCAUAGCUUGACUUCCACACAUCGUCACACAUCAACCUUUUAGAACACUAUUAUCAAUUAUGGUGUAAGAAUUACGGGAAUUGUUUGAAGGCGUGAUUUUCGGUGGAUUAAAAUUAGAUUGGUGAUUUUGCUGAUUUUAACAUUUCCUUUAUACUGGAAUAUUGUAGUAAAUAUAAUAAUAAAAAUGUUAAGAUGUAUUAGAUGAAUAUCUUUAUAAAAUGAGGUAUCCCACGUAAUUUCCUCUUGCUUCGAACCUUGACCUGCCCUUUCCCGUCGUCCAUCCCCAUAUUGCUAUUGCCGUCUCCUAACAAUUGGUGCCACCAAGAAAUCACCAUAUGAUGUGAGAGCAAUAUACAAAUAAUUGGAAAAUUUACACAAAUAAGCAAUAAGAGGACUGAAAAAUGAAAAAUACUGACUUUCUCCAAUUAAGGAGAAAUACUGACUAUCUGGCCUAACCGAGGCAAUAAAAUAUAGGUAGUCAAAGUGAUGCAUCACCUUAGUCGAGAUCUUCUAAAUAAUUGAUUGAUUUGACAUCUCUGUAGCAAAUACCUCACAGUUAACUUAUUAGUCUACUUUUCAGAUGUCAAUCUUAGGUCAUAGGGUGGCUGCCUUUUCGAAUAUUAAAUGCUCGUGACCUAGAAUUGAUGGAAUAACACCUAGGAGAAGAUGCAUGAGCUGCUAAGAUGAGGCCAAGUUUCUUUUAAACCAACGGUAAUCACUCCACCUCUUUUUACAAUAAAAGUUCACAUUUAGUGUAAUUUGAAGGGGAUACAAUUUUACACUCUCAAUAGUGUUAUUGCUUAACUCUUGUUCUUUCUAUACCUUGGUGCCCUGUACAUUUCUGUAGUUCAUGUCUUCCCGUCCAUUUUAUAUCUAAAUAUGUAUCUACAAGUUGACUGAUUUGAUCUUUAGAGUGCUCUCGACCGCCUUCCUCACCAUCGAAGAGUGCUUCAUUCUUUUAAUGAUUUGUCUAAAUGUGCAGGAGUUGAAUGAGUAGUAGUGAGUAAAAUUGGGAUUUGUUGACCACAUUAACAGUCAGAAAUCAAGUUCAACAUAUAUGAUCCAACAAAAUUGGCUCAAUCACAAAUUUAAAAUUCAAAAUAAAAAAUGCAAAAAAAGAAAUCUUCAAUUUAUAGCUUAAGGCCUAAAACUCUUUGGUAUUUCCCCAUUUGCCUGCAUUCUUCUCGCCAUGUUAACUAUAGUCCAAUCCUCCCUCCAAUACACCAUUUUGCUGAGGUGUGAUGCUUCUGUCAAUUGCCUUCGAAAUCCAUGUUCAUCACGAAAAUUUGCACAAUGAGUUUGGAGAGUUUGAAUGGUUUUCUCAACUUUAUUCUGUACUUGAACUUUGAAUUUUUUAAAAGCUAAAUAUUUCUUUUUGCCAUUUGAUAUGGGGUUUACUGGGCUACACAUAUUAAAAUGGAUUAAAUCCAACGACAUCUUGGCUUUCCAUGCAUUGCCUUUGAUAUGCUUGCUAUGUUGUUUACCAACAACAUACUCUUCACAUAUUUCGGAGGGAAAGAGUAAUCUGAGGAAGACCAACCACCAUGUUAUUCUAAGAAAUAGUCUUCAAUUCAUUGAAAUUUGAACAUCCAUAACAUUCAAAUGUCUAUGACGGUAAUGCCAAAACCACAUUGGGUCAUUUACAUUGGCCAUAAGACAAUUCUAGAGAGAUUUAAUUUGCAACGAAAAUAAUGUGUUCAAUGUCAUCUUAACAUGUACUAUGUUAGAAUCAGGUUAUGAUUCGUAUUUUAUUUGGAAUGCUAUUUGUGAAUCCUAUUCGAAAUAUAUUUGGUAAUUCUAGUUGAAAUUCAAUUUGGGAGUUUAAUUGGAAGUUUAAAAUUUUGAAGAGGUCAAGAUAUAGACAAGAGAGAAAUUUACAGCGCAUUCCCGCUUGUUACCUGCCUGAUUCCCGCAGAGCGCUCAAAUCAAGAAAGCUAGCAUUCUCUUAGUGCCAGCCCAUUGUCGAGCGGCUUGGUUUUCAAGCAUGGUUCAUUUGGCCCAAAGCCCUUUUUGCAUUUUAAAUGCAUUUUCAACAUUCUUUUUCGUCUAUAACUCUAUUUUUAAGGUUUGAACGUUCUUUAUAUAGUUAGCUCUUCAUUGUGAGUUAGACAAGUUAGAUAAUACUGUAAAAACUAUAUAUUUGUAUUCUUUCUCCAUAUUUUAGUGAAUUCUCAUUUCCUUUGCCAAUUAUCUUUUGUUCUUGCGCAUUUGUGAUAUUUACUUCAUAUUGUGCCAUAUAUAUUCAUCCUCACAUUACAACUAACUGGUAUUAGAGCGAGGUUCGAUCAAGUCAAGAACUCAAUUUGAUCUUUUGUGAUGACAACCAUGAAGUAUGAUAUUUCGCUUUGGAUUGCAGCACAAGAUUUUCGUUGUAGCAAGUAAAGAUAUAAGUAGUGCUCGCUAAGAUGAAUUUGGAUGAUGUUUUGAUCGAAUUUGACAAGAUGCUCACAAUUUGGACAUCCUAGAACAAAAAGUAGGGAUAAAAAAGGCCCUAUGACAUAUUUAUUUUCAUCCUUCGAAUAAUAUUUUUCAGAACGUUUUGAAGGAGAAGACCACGCUACAUUAUGGUUGAAAUUGGAGAAACUAUGUAUGACAAAGGGUCUAACUCACAAAUUACAUUUGAAGCAAGGUGUAUAUUCUCAUUAUAUGAUAGAAGAUACAUCACUUGAAGAUCACCUAGUUAUUUUUAAGAAAAUCAUCAUCGAUUUGGGAACCUUGGAGGUAAAUAUAAUAUCAAGGAUUUGUGUUUGAUUUUGUCGUAUUCUUGCCCGCUUCAUAUAUGUCCUUUAAAGACAUGAUCUUAUAUAAUCAUGAUACUCUCAUCGUUGAAGAGUUUUAUAAUGCUCUAUUUUCAAAGGAGAAGAAUGAACAUUUUAUUGGAUUAAUUUGAGGCUCAUAGAGACGGCCUUCUUGUUGAUGAUGUUAUGUGAGUGGCAAAUUGAAGUCUAACUUCAAUAAUAAAAUUUGUAAUUAUUAUAAGAAGAAGUAGAGAUGGCAAAAUAAUCCGUCCCGUCUCGCCUCGCUUCGCCCCGAACCUGCCUCGUAAAAAAAGGGUAACAAUGUUUACAAAAUAACUGGGUUUGAUAAAAAGAACACCUACAAGCUUCUCGAAACUUAAACAGCACGUAUGUUAAGAAAUGCCACUCCGGUGAACAAUAUAACUUUGUAAACGAAAAAAUAGCUCUGGAAUUCUUCAGUAUCAGGAUUAUAGCAGGCCAUUAGGAAUGGACUAUACCUAAAAACAUGAAAAUUUGUCCCUUACCAUAUUAUCGAAAACGGGAAAUUGCAAGUGUUUUUAUUCUCCAAGAACCAGAAUAGGAAAGCAUCAUCAGUGAAACUUCCAUUUCCAAAACAAAUCCAUGCUUUUGUGUGCAUCGGCAAUUGAUAAUAAAAUACUUAAAUUGGAGAAUAGUAAUCGAAUGCGUUUUUGUGAUUAUCCAUCAUAUAGUAAAUUAUCCCAGCAGUGAAUGUUCAGCCUCAUCUGUUAUACUUGAAUAUAAAAAAUGCAGUAUAAUUUGGUUUGUCUUCACUCUUACAUUUUUUAACAGUUGACUUCAAAUAUAACAGAGGAGAAGAAUCAGAAAUCUUAAUCAGCAUAUUAAAUAUUGCUAAUUUUCCUCAAUUUGGAUUAUUUACUUUGGAUUUUAAAAUUUUGAAUUUGUAUUUUUUUCUCUAAUAAUAGCAUAAUUUGAAAUUUUGAAAAUGUAAAUAUAAACAAUAAUAAUAAAAAAAUGAGGCAACAAACGCGACAAGCCACAGUCAUCUCUAAGAAGAAGAGGCAUGUGGUAAAAGAUUGCUAAAAGUUGGAGAAUAAAGAAAAUUAGGCUGCAGCUAAUUUAGAAGGAAAAUCAACCAGAUACUUUAGGUGAAGUGAGUAUUGCAGAAAAUUCUCAUGAUGAUAGAGAACUUUUGAUUAUUUUUUAUAGCGACUCCAAAUCUAACGAGGAUUGGAUUCUUGAUACAGUUUGCAGUAGGCAUAUGUGUUCCAAUCAAGAUUUGUUUUCUACACAUGAAAUAGUUUUAAUACACUUUGUAGGAUAGUUAUUGGAACGGUCAGAGUUUGAUGGGAUUCUCAGAACACUUGAUGCUGUGAGACAUGUUCUAAAUUUGAAGAAAUUUUUUAUCUCCUCGCAUAUUCUUGAUUUAAAAGCAUAUAAAUAUAUUGGUGAAGAUGGUGUCCUAAAAGUUAGUAAAGGUGGCCAUGUUAUCAUGAAGGGGGGCGAAAAUGUCUUAAUUAUAUGUCUUGCAUAGUUCUAUAGAAUCCUUAAUUUAGGCACCUAGAUGGAUUUUAAGGUUGGUUUAGUACCGUCAGAGUUUAGUUUGGAAUCUAUAUUAAAGAAUACAUUUCAGCUAAGUUCAAAAGUUAUGGAUAAAUUCACUUUGCCAUGAUUACCAGUGUUGCGAUCGUAUUUAAUUGCUAGAAAUAGACCCAUGAAAAUAGUAGGCCUCCACAUAGUUAUAGGGAUGUUGAUUUAGUUGUUUUUUCUUUGAAUGUGAUUGAACGUAUUGAUUCUAGCUAAGAACCUUCUAUUGAAGCAGUUAGGAACGUUGAUUCUGCUACAGUGCUUGUUUCUACCUUGUUUGAUGAUUAUUAAAUCAUUUUUUAUUUUUUCUCGUAUGUGAGGAUAAUUCGAGCAACUUUGGAGUCCAAGGUAAUCUUAUUGAGCAGUAUUUGGAAUUUAGUUGAUACUCAGUUAUUGAGUUUGCCCUAGUUCAGUUCUUUAUCAAGAUAUGAACCAGGCAAAAUUUUACGCUGCAUUCUCACUCGCUACCCGCCUAAUUUCUGCUUGACCUCUCAAAGCAGGGAACUUGGCGCUCAUUUAGCAUUACUCUACCACUCGGGCGUAAGUUUUGAUUUAAGCUAUUUUGCUUUUAAGUUUUGAUUUUAGUUUCAUAUCAUUAUAUAUUGCUAAUCCUUCCUCAUUGAUGUAAUUUAUGAUUGUCCAUAAGUUUACGUAGUAUAUCAAAUUGUAUCUUUAUUUUCAUUUUUUUUCCGCAUUUCUAAAACUUUUAUCAAAUAGUUUUGAAAGAACAAAUAUAAAUCUUUCUUUCCAAAACGAUUGUUUUCAAUCAUCCCUGAUCAUGCCUUUGGUGAGGAAGAUAUCUUUGUAUCGAAGAAAGUCAUGAACCUUUGGACAUAUUAAAUUCAUUAAAACUUCAGAGAAUCUGUCUUGUAAUGAAGUUGGGCUUCCAAUAAAAUGCUUGAUUACAUCAAACAAAAAUGUUAAUAAAUUGUCUUUUUUACCAUUUGGUUUAUGAUGUCUACAAGAUAAAGUGUUCCAGUCAACUCGACAGUAAUGAUCUACUGCAAAAUCAUCAACAAAACAUAAUAGAACAAAGAUUCCAUCUCAUAAAUUUAAGGCUAUAUAUGGUCCGAUUGUUCCAGUUCGAUUCAAUUUUCCCGAAUUUUUGAGUAUUUUGUAAGUAGAAUCAUCGGGUCCAAUUAAAUUAUAGUGUUCUAAUUGACGCCUCUUCUCUUGUUGUUGAAAUUGUCCCUGUGGCCUAUUUUGAUUCUGGUUGCUCCAAGAGAAGUUGGGAUGCUUCUUCCAACUGGGAUUGAAAGUUUCUCCAUAUUGAUUGUACGUUGGCAUUGUCCCCACUGUAUAUAGUCUGCUUACUCAAUUCCUUGCAUGAGUAUUGGACAUUCCGAUGUUUUAUGCUCAACUCCACAUUUUUCACAAUUGUUCUUCUUAGCUUGUGCUGCUUGUGAUAUGCUUUCCACCUUGUGAUACAGAGAGUCGAUUUUUGCAGAUAUUGCUGAAUAAGUAUCCACCUCAUAGAGACCCGGAGUUUUCCUUGGAAUCGCCCUCUCAGAAGACAACAUGGUUGAUGUGGUAGCCAUUCUCUCAAAUAAUUCCAAUGCCCCAUCAAUUGGUCAUGUGGAUAUUGAGCCAUAUGAAGCUAAAUCCACCAUGCUCUUGUGGUAUGGAAGUAACCCUGUGUAGAAGAAUCGAAUUUGGGUCUUUUUAUCAAACCCAUGUUGAGGGCACUUCCGGAGCAUGUUUUUGAAUCUGUUCCAAGUUUCGUCAAAUGAUUCGAUUUCUCCUUGACUGAAUACUGAUAUGUCAUAUCUCAGCUUCACUAUCUUGGAUGGGGAGAAAAAUUUUGUGCAGAAUUUGUGUGCCAACUCGUUCCAUGUAGUGAUACUUGCAACCGGAAGUGAAUCCAACCAUUCAAGCGCUCUGUCUCGUAGCGUAUGUGGAAACAGUCUUAGCCUAAUAGCAUCGUCCGAAAUCCCUUGGUAUGUAAAAUGUUAACACAUAUCCAAAAAUCGAGAUAUGUGUGUAUNNNNNNNNNNNNNNNNNNNNNNNNNNNNNNNNNNNNNNNNNNNNNNNNNNNNNNNNNNNNNNNNNNNNNNNNNNNNNNNNNNNNNNNNNNNNNNNNNNNNNNNNNNNNNNNNNNNNNNNNNNNNNNNNNNNNNNNNNNNNNNNNNNNNNNNNNNNNNNNNNNNNNNNNNNNNNNNNNNNNNNNNNNNNNNNNNNNNNNNNNNNNNNNNNNNNNNNNNNNNNNNNNNNNNNNNNNNNNNNNNNNNNNNNNNNNNNNNNNNNNNNNNNNNNNNNNNNNNNNNNNNNNNNNNNNNNNNNNNNNNNNNNNNNNNNNNNNNNNNNNNNNNNNNNNNNNNNNNNNNNNNNNNNNNNNNNNNNNNNNNNNNNNNNNNNNNNNNNNNNNNNNNNNNNNNNNNNNNNNNNNNNNNNNNNNNNNNNNNNNNNNNNNNNNNNNNNNNNNNNNNNNNNNNNNNNNNNNNNNNNNNNNNNNNNNNNNNNNNNNNNNNNNNNNNNNNNNNNNNNNNNNNNNNNNNNNNNNNNNNNNNNNNNNNNNNNNNNNNNNNNNNNNNNNNNNNNNNNNNNNNNNNNNNNNNNNNNNNNNNNNNNNNNNNNNNNNNNNNNNNNNNNNNNNNNNNNNNNNNNNNNNNNNNNNNNNNNNNNNNNNNNNNNNNNNNNNNNNNNNNNNNNNNNNNNNNNNNNNNNNNNNNNNNNNNNNNNNNNNNNNNNNNNNNNNNNNNNNNNNNNNNNNNNNNNNNNNNNNNNNNNNNNNNNNNNNNNNNNNNNNNNNNNNNNNNNNNNNNNNNNNNNNNNNNNNNNNNNNNNNNNNNNNNNNNNNNNNNNNNNNNNNNNNNNNNNNNNNNNNNNNNNNNNNNNNNNNNNNNNNNNNNNNNNNNNNNNNNNNNNNNNNNNNNNNNNNNNNNNNNNNNNNNNNNNNNNNNNNNNNNNNNNNNNNNNNNNNNNNNNNNNNNNNNNNNNNNNNNNNNNNNNNNNNNNNNNNNNNNNNNNNNNNNNNNNNNNNNNNNNNNNNNNNNNNNNNNNNNNNNNNNNNNNNNNNNNNNNNNNNNNNNNNNNNNNNNNNNNNNNNNNNNNNNNNNNNNNNNNNNNNNNNNNNNNNNNNNNNNNNNNNNNNNNNNNNNNNNNNNNNNNNNNNNNNNNNNNNNNNNNNNNNNNNNNNNNNNNNNNNNNNNNNNNNNNNNNNNNNNNNNNNNNNNNNNNNNNNNNNNNNNNNNNNNNNNNNNNNNNNNNNNNNNNNNNNNNNNNNNNNNNNNNNNNNNNNNNNNNNNNNNNNNNNNNNNNNNNNNNNNNNNNNNNNNNNNNNNNNNNNNNNNNNNNNNNNNNNNNNNNNNNNNNNNNNNNNNNNNNNNNNNNNNNNNNNNNNNNNNNNNNNNNNNNNNNNNCGCAUAGUACAUUUCUAUGCUGUCGCAUAGAGUAAAAAAAUUUGAGAAAAAAUUCUUGGGAGGCUUCUAUGCGACCGCAUAGUUAUGCGAUUCUUUCCGCCGGAUAGCUUUUAGUAUUUUGAUCAUAACUUUUUCUCCUGAUCUCCAAUUGAAGUGAUUCAAAGUUUAUUGGACAGAAAACUCAAAGAUCUACCUUUUGAUAAAAAUAGGCUUUCUCAAAUUCUGAUAUUUACUAUGCCAAAAAUGGAUCUCAAGUAGAAGCUAAAAAUCACAAGCAUAGCUUUUUUGCCUGAAAGUUGAUACUUGAUAAUAUUUCGAUCAUAUUUUACCUCUUUGACUCCUUUCCUCAUCCGAUUGACCUCUAACACUCUUGAAUCUUCAUUCCAUUUCCCGUCUCAUCUAUGGAUUAUUUGCAACAUCGUCCGAAAUCCCUUGGUAUGUAAAAUGUUAACACAUAUCCAAAAAUCGAGAUAUGUGUGUAUGUGGAUUCUCCUCGACUUUGCCAUAAAACUGGUGUCCAUUUUGAAAUAGCUGUAUCACAUUGGUCUUCAACUGGAAAUUUGGUUGCCCAAACAGUGGACACACUAUACUAGAUUGACUUUGAAUUACUUGAGGAGUCAAAAAAUCUCCCAGAAUCUCAUUUUCUUCGUCCAUUGCCUCUCCUUCAUUAGCUUGAAUAAUGUGAUUGUUUAGUUCAUUAGCCAUUUGUACUUGUACAUCUCGGUGAUCUCUUUGUAGUCGAUGAAAGGUGCACUCGAUUUCAGGAUCAGCUGUAAUCAAUUCUCCUCCAGUCGAUCGUGGCAUGCAAAUCUNNNNNNNNNNNNNNNNNNNNNNNNNNNNNNNNNNNNNNNNNNNNNNNNNNNNNNNNNNNNNNNNNNNNNNNNNNNNNNNNNNNNNNNNNNNNNNNNNNNNNNNNNNNNNNNNNNNNNNNNNNNNNNNNNNNNNNNNNNNNNNNNNNNNNNNNNNNNNNNNNNNNNNNNNNNNNNNNNNNNNNNNNNNNNNNNNNNNNNNNNNNNNNNNNNNNNNNNNNNNNNNNNNNNNNNNNNNNNNNNNNNNNNNNNNNNNNNNNNNNNNNNNNNNNNNNNNNNNNNNNNNNNNNNNNNNNNNNNNNNNNNNNNNNNNNNNNNNNNNNNNNNNNNNNNNNNNNNNNNNNNNNNNNNNNNNNNNNNNNNNNNNNNNNNNNNNNNNNNNNNNNNNNNNNNNNNNNNNNNNNNNNNNNNNNNNNNNNNNNNNNNNNNNNNNNNNNNNNNNNNNNNNNNNNNNNNNNNNNNNNNNNNNNNNNNNNNNNNNNNNNNNNNNNNNNNNNNNNNNNNNNNNNNNNNNNNNNNNNNNNNNNNNNNNNNNNNNNNNNNNNNNNNNNNNNNNNNNNNNNNNNNNNNNNNNNNNNNNNNNNNNNNNNNNNNNNNNNNNNNNNNNNNNNNNNNNNNNNNNNNNNNNNNNNNNNNNNNNNNNNNNNNNNNNNNNNNNNNNNNNNNNNNNNNNNNNNNNNNNNNNNNNNNNNNNNNNNNNNNNNNNNNNNNNNNNNNNNNNNNNNNNNNNNNNNNNNNNNNNNNNNNNNNNNNNNNNNNNNNNNNNNAAUAAAAGAAUACAUCAGAUUUUGGAUAAAAAGCAUAACCGGGUUACGAAAUCUUGAAGCUAUUCGUGUAAAUCUUUGUUCUUACGCUCAAAAUCCUCUCCAAGAAGUGUUUUUCUGCCUCUAAUGCGUUCUGCCUCUUUCUGGACGUCUUUUGGUAUGUAUAUAGCGUGAAAAUUAGGUUACCAAAAGAGUUUCGAUCGUGUAAGGAAACUGCAGAAUCGACCCCCAGAAUAUACCUAUGCGACCGCAUAGUACAUUUCUAUGCUGUCGCAUAGAGUAAAAAAAUUUGAGAAAAAAUUCUUGGGAGGCUUCUAUGCGACCGCAUAGUUAUGCGAUUCUUUCCGCCGGAUAGCUUUUAGUAUUUUGAUCAUAACUUUUUCUCCUGAUCUCCAAUUGAAGUGAUUCAAAGUUUAUUGGACAGAAAACUCAAAGAUCUACCUUUUGAUAAAAAUAGGCUUUCUCAAAUUCUGAUAUUUACUAUGCCAAAAAUGGAUCUCAAGUAGAAGCUAAAAAUCACAAGCAUAGCUUUUUUGCCUGAAAGUUGAUACUUGAUAAUAUUUCGAUCAUAUUUUACCUCUUUGACUCCUUUCCUCAUCCGAUUGACCUCUAACACUCUUGAAUCUUCAUUCCAUUUCCCGUCUCAUCUAUGGAUUAUUUGCAACUUUGUCCCCGAACUUUCAGUUUGAUUCAUUUUGGUCCUUUUUGCUUGUUUCUUUUAUUUCCAUCAUCUCAUAAUAUCACCAAAUUGGUACUUAGCCCAUUCAGUUCCUUGAUUUGUCCUUCGGACUAUCUUUUGGAUAAUUGCACUUUGGUCCCUGAGCUAUCACUUUGCUCCAUUUUAGUCCUUUUUCGACCAUUUUCUCCUGAAUUCCACUAUUUCCAUAGAAACACUUACAUUGCAUAAAUUCUACGAGAUUAAGUUACAAUUUAAACAUUUUGCUUGUAAUUAAGUCAUGUUUGUGAUCUAAAUAAGUGUGCAAUAACACACUUAUCAAUGUCUACAAGAUAAAGUGCUCCAGUCAACUCGACAGUAAUGAUCUACUGCAAAAUCAUCAACAGAACAUAAUAGAACAAAGAUUCCAUCUCAUAAAUUUAAGGCUAGAUACGGUCCGAUCGUUCCGGUUUGAUUCUCCCGAAUUUUUGAGUAUUUUGUAAGUAGAAUCAUCGGGUCCAAUUAAAUUAUAGAGCCAAAAGUGUUUGGUUUUGUUGGAUUCGGUUCGAUUCAAUUCAGUUUCAUUCAGUUCUAGGGUUCCUUACAAUAAUUAGAUUUUUAAUAUUUACAAUAACACUACAUUAAUUCAACUAAUGACAUGUUCAAUCUUAAUUCUUACAAAAUAAUGUAGUCUAAUCCUGUGAUAUCUUUUGGGCAGCUAUUUGUUGAGUUUUUCAUAUAUUUGACUGUUAAAAUCACAAAAGAAAGAAGAUAACAAGUUUACAAUAAUGAAGAGAUGCUCAGUCAAGCUUUCAAUUUGAUUUCUUUAGAAUGACGGAAAACAACACGAUAUAAUGAGAGGUUUGAAAAAAAGUUAGUUGAAUUUGAUUAAAUUGGACUUGGAUUGAGGAUUAAAAAUUGAAAAAUCAUAUUUUUUGUUGGGCUAAAUUAAUUAGUUGGCAAGUGAAAUAGGAAAAAUUAUAUUUUUGGGUUCAUUUAAUUAGUUGAUAAAUUUAUUUAGAAAAAAAAAUAGAAAUAAUUUGGCUUGUCUAAUAUUGAACCUACAACAUUUUUUGGGAGAUUAACUUCUUAUUUGAUUUUUCGAUUCUUGGUCUAAACUGAGAAUCAAACCAAACCCAUUGGUUUUCGUUUCAGAUACCCGUUUGUGUAUUUAAGUUAAGAAGAACAGUUCGAUUUGAUUUAGUUCGGUUCGGAUCCAAUUCGGUUUGAGAGUUUUAUCUUCCUAUACAAUUCAAAUAAAAAGUUAAGGAAUAAUUUUGAACCUACAACAUUUUUAAUCGACUUUGAACCUUAAUUUUAUUGUAGAUAUAUGAUAUUUCCCUAUAACCCAAUAAAUGAAUUGAUAGCAACCCAAUUAAUGAAUUAAUAGUAACCAAAUAACCCAAUUUGCGUUUCACAAUAUUCCCCUCUAAAUCAAUAUCAACCCAACAAAUAAAAAUAAUAAAUGAUACGUCUAAGGGAAAAUCUUAUAUUGAACAGAUAAAGUAUGGUUCAUUUCAAAACUAAGAAAUAAGAUUUAAAAUUCAAAAAUAAGAUAUUAAUUAAAUUUUAUUUAUGAAAUAAUUAACUAAAAACGUAUUUUAUUAUUUCAAUAUAUUAAGGUUACAAUUAUAUACUAUUUGGUCACAAAUGAUCAAAUUAAUUGAUCAUAAAUUAUUUCUCGAUCAAUUUUAUAGGUCACAAAUUAUUUCAAGAUCAUAAAUAAAAAAAUUUUCAAGUCACAAUUUAUUAAUUUGUCACAAAUAAAAAAUUUAUAAAUCACGGUUUACUUAUUAGUCACAAAUCAUAAAUUUUAUAAGUCACGACUCAAUUAUUUAGGUCGCACAUUAUUUAUUGGUCACAAGUUAUGUUUCACAUAUUACUUAUUAGUCACAAAAUAUCCAAUUUAUUGGCCACAAUUUCAAAUAAUUGAUCACAAAUUAACUAACUUAUUGGUUACAAUGACUAAAUAAUUGGUCACAAACCCUCUUUAUACAACCUAACCCAUCACCACUAGAUUCACCAUCUUAUGACCACUGUUACCACCAACACUCUACCACCACCGUCGUCCCCACCACCAUCUCACCAUCAUCGCGAUUAGUACCACCAUUGUUUUUUCUUGGAUGUGAGGAUAAUUCGAGCAACUUUGGUGUCCAAGGUAAUCUUAUUGAGCAAUACUUGGAAUUCAGUUGAUACUCAGUUAUUGAGUUUGCCCUAGUUGGGUUUUGUGGUAGAGGUAGAGAAUUUUUCAAUUGGAAGUAUUGAUGGAGAAUUUUGUUUGUAAUUAUUAUUAUUAUUAUUUAUGUUGAGGAGUUUUGUCUUAUUCCUAACAGUGGAAUUCAUCUCUAGGUGAAGAAUCUUUGAAGUUCAUUACAGUGAAAUUUGUGUCAAUAUAAAGUUUGUUAGAAUUAAAGUGUGGCCCGAAUUCUACUUGGAAUGUUAUUUGGGACUCCUAUUUGAAAUCUAUUUGGGAAUUCUAGUUGAAAUUCAAUUUGGGAGAGACUUGAAGAGGUCAAGAUAUGGACCAGGCAAAAAUUUACGGUGCAUUCUCACUCGCUACCUGCCUAAUUUCCGCUUGACCGCUCAAAGCAGAAACCUGGCGCUUGUUUAGCAUUACCCUGCCACUUGGGCGUAAGUUUUGAUUUGAGCUAUUUUGCUUUCAAGUUUUGAUUUGAGUUUCAUAUCAUUGCAUAUUGCUAAUCCUUCCUUAUUGAUGUAAUUUAUGAUUUGUCCAUAAGUUUACCUAGUAUAUCAAAUUGUACCUUUAUAUUGAUUUUUUUCUUCACAGUUCUAAAACUUUCGGCAAAUAGUUUUGAAAGAACAAAAAUAAAUAUUUCUUUCCAAAAUGAUUGUUUUCAAUCAUCCCUUAUCAUGCCUUUAGUGAGGAAGAUAUCUUUGUAUCGAAGAAAGUCAUGAACCUUUGGACAUAUUAAAUUCAUUAAAACUUCAGAGAAUCUGUCUAGUAAUGAAGUUGGGCUUCCAAUAAAAUGCUUGAUUACAUCAAACAAAAAUGUUAAUAAAUUUUAUUUUUGAAUAUUUGGUUUGAUGAUGUCUACAAGGUAAAGUAUUCUAGUCAACUCGACAGUAAUGAUCUACUGCAAAAUCAUCGAUAGAACAUAAUAGAACAAAGAUUCCAUCUCAUAAAUUUAAGGUUGGAUAUGGUCCGAUUGAUUUGGUUUGAUUCGAUUCUCCCGAGUUUUUGAUUACUUAGUAAGUAGAAUCAUCGGGUCCAAAUUUAAUUAUAGAGCCAAAAGGGUUUGGUUCCGUUGGAUUCAGUUCGAUUCAAUUCAGUUUCAUUCAGUUAUGGGGUUCCUUACAUUAAUUAAAUUUUUAAUAUUUACAAUAACACUACAUGAAUUCAACUAAUAACAUGUUCAAUCUUAAUUCUUACAAAAUAAUGUAGUCUAAUCCCGUGAUAUCUUUUGGGCAUCUAUCUGUUUAGUUCUUCAUAUAUUUGAUUGUUAAAAUCACAAGAAGAGGAAGGUAGCGAACUUACAAUAAUGAAGAGAUGCCCAGUCAAGCUUUCAAUUUGAUUUCUUUAGAAUGACAGAAAACAACACGAUAGAAUGAGAUAAUUGGAAAAAAUUUAGGUCAAUUUGAUUAAAUUAAACAUAAAUUGAAGAUUAAAAAUAGAAAAAUCAUAUUUUUUUGUUGGGCUAAAUUAAUUAGUUGGCAAGUGAAAUAGGAAUCAUUAUAUUUUUGGGCUCAUUUAAUUAGUUGACAAAUUUAUUUAGAAAAAAUUGAAAUAAUUUGGUCUGUCUAAUAUAAAAAAUUUAAAAAAUUAGGGAGAUUAACUUCUUAUUUGAUUUUUCAAUUCUUGGUCUACACCAAGAAUCAAACUAAACCCGUUGUAUUCGAUUCAGAUACUUGUUUGUGUAUUUAAAUUAGAAGAACAACUUGAUUCGAUUUAGUUCGAUUCCGAUUUGAUUCGGUUCGACAGUUUCAUCUUCCUACACAAAUUGGUUGAAGCUAUACAAUUCAAAUAAAAAGUUAAGGAAUAAUUUUGAAUCUAUAACAUUUUCAAUCGACUUUGAACCUUAAUUUUACUAUAGAUAUAUGAUAUUUCCCUAUAACCCAAUUUAUGAAUUAAUAGCAACCCAAUUAAUGAAUUAAUAGUAACCAACUAACCCAAUUUGCGUUUCACAAUGUUCCCCUUUAAAUCAAUAACAACUCAGCAAAUAAAAAUAAUAAAUGAUACGUCUAAGAGAAAAUCUUAUACCGAAGAGAUAAAGUAUGGUCCUUUGCAAAACUAAGAAAUAAGAUUUAAAAUUCAAAAAUCAUAUAUUAAUUAAAUUUUAUUUAUGAAAUAAUUAUUAAAUCAUAUUUUAUUUUAAAUAUAUUAAGGUCAUAAUUAUAUACUAUUUGGUCACAAAUGAUCAAAUUAAUUGAUCAUAAAUUAUUUCUUGAUCACGAAUAAUUUUUUUUUAUAGGUCACGAAUUAUUUCAAGAUCAUAAAUAAAAAAAUUUGCAAGUCACAAUUUAUUAAUUUGUCACAAAUAAAAAAUUUAUAAAUCACGGUUAAUUUAUUAGUCACAAAUCAUUAAUUUUAUAAGUCGCGACUCAAUUAUUUAUGUCUCACAUUAUUUAUUGGUCACAAGUUAUCUUUCACAUAUUACUUAUUAGUCACAAAAUAUCCAAUUUAUUGGCCAUAAUUUCAAAUAAUUGGACACAAAUUAACCAGCUUAUUGAUUACAAUGACUAAAUAAUUGGUCACAAACCCUCUUUAUACAACCCAACCCACCACCACUAGAUUCACCAUCUCAUGACCAUCAUCACCACCAGCACUCUACAACCAUUGUCGUCGCCACAACCAUCUCACCAUCAUCACGAUUAGUACCACCACGACCAGCUGCCCGUACCAAGAAUCACAAUCGCCAUCUCUAUCUCUACCACACCACGCCAUACCACAUCAUCCCACUACAAAAAAAUCCCCGAACUAGGCAUCACUGCCAUCAUUACCAUCACCACCAUUGCAUAUUUCAACAAUCACCACCACAACCACCUCAAUCUCACCAUCUCCUUCACCUCUACCACACCACAACCAUUGACACCAACUCAAAGAUACAGACUAAAAUGGAGAAAACAAAUCGACUCCUUGCAGAAGAUGAAUCAUAAAAUAGAUCCAUGAGAAAUUUGAAUGGUGGUUUUGUUCUUGUCGUGAUGAAUACAUUAGUACAUGAUCAAUCCAUUGGUAUAGAAUGAUAGCUUAGCACACAAUUGUCGCGACAGUAAUUCUAUCGCUACGAGACGCCAUUGCGUUGGGUCAUGUAUAGCAGUGUACCAGACCUAGCUGCAGCUGCGCAUUACCUAGGAAUGUCAACGAGUUGAGACGAAACUCAAAACUCAGGUUCAACUCGAGUAAAAAUGGUUAGAACAUUUUUGGCUCUAGCCGAGCCGAGCUUUUGCUUAACAAAAAAUUCUAGGCACGUCCCAAGCUUUCAGCUUGACCCUUAACGAGCCGAGCCGAGCUAGCUGACAUUUUUAAUUCAUGAUAAGUCUAGUAAGAGUUUAAAGUUUGUGUAAUUUAUACGAAUUAUAAAUUAAAUAAUAGUUUCAAAUUAGUACUUUCUAUAAUAGCUGGCUGCCGUGUUAUCUUCUUACUUUCAUUGUUUUUUUAUUCUAUUUUCGUUAUAAGCCAAAAAUGGCUCGUGACAUGGGUUGGCCCGUGUUGCUUAACGAGCUACAUGGGUUGGCUCGGGUUUGAGCCGAUACCUCAAAAUGGGGCUCGACCCAAGCCUCGGCUCAGUCCUUCCAAGCCACGAGCCAGGCUAGCUCGAAAUUUUCCAAAUCAAGCCAUAGGCCGCUCGAGCCCGCAAGGCAAAUUUACUUCCCUAGCAUCGCCUAAACUAGGAGUGACCGCUGGAGCCAGAGCCGCGUUUCUUCUACCUAUUGUCGCUAGAGUCAUCGGGGGGAGGAGGAGAGAGAGAUUUGGGUCAUGUGAUUCAUGAUUUUGGAUUUUUUAAGGUUUGGGUGGUUAUAAUUUAGAGAGAAAGAGAUAGGGGAAAGAGAAAUUGAAUAUUAUUAAGAUUAAAGAUUUGAAUUUAAAUCUGAUUUUUGUAUAAACAAACUCUAGAUAUAUUUUUUUGAAGUUGGAUCUUUAAAUAUCUGGUUGGAUGUAAUUUUCACUACCUCUAAAUUAUUUCUGAUGCUGACUUGGCUGCUUGGUAAUUAGUGGGCUUGAUGUUUGAUUGAAGGUGGCCAAAUAGUAAUCUGUUUGCGAAAUGGAGCAGAGUAAAAUGGUGACGGGAGAAGAAGAAGAAGAAGAAAGAGAACGUGGGGAAGAAUAGAAAAAGGGAAAUAGAAGAAAAAGGAAAAUAAAAUAAAAGAAAAGAAAAAGAAAAAAAUGUAAAUUUUUUUUUGAAAGAAUUAAUAUUUAAAAAAAUCCGAUUAUAAUUAUUAGCCUACAAAUAUGUCAAAUAUUUUUAUUUUCAAAAGAUAUGUUUUUCACGUUAAUUUUUUUCUAAAAAAAUACAAAAAAUUGUGGAUGCGAGUUCUCUCACUAUUGAAAAAUUUUAAGUAAAUUAUUGUCCUACAAAAUAUAUCUUUUUUUUUUUCGUGGGAAAAAGUAAGAUCCACAUACAAAUCUCAAAUUGUUUUUCAAAUUUUUUUAGGAAAAGUAUAAAUUUCUUGAAGUGUGAUUUGUACACACCCAAUUUUGCAUUAGCGACAAAAUUUUUUAUCUUGUACAACUAAUCCAGUUGAUAAAUAAAUUGGAAAUGGACAAAUUAUUUGCAAUUUUAAAAAAUAGUCAAUAUUUUCUAUUAAUAAAUUUAUUUUUCUUAUCGAGAAAUCAAUCAUAGAUUCUUUUAUUGUAUUCAUGUCUAGCAAAUGGUCUACACUCUAUACCAAUUCCAUAACGUUUGAUGCUUCUUGCUGGCAGUCACGGUGUGGGAGUUCGAUUCCUGAAACAUGGAAUUGGACUCCUUGUACGCACAAUGUACAUGCAGCUCUUAUUCUCUGGCCUGCUAGGGCACAUCCUGCGAUUUACCUCUCUCACAAAUCUCUAGGGACGGAACGGUAGGGGCCCUCAAGGUUGAUGUUCAACAUUUAUAUUUCUGCAUUGUGCAUUAUUGUUCGUACUUCUAAAAAUCUCUUAUUGGACAAAUUUUGGGACCAGUUGCAAGUAACUUCAAUGGAAAUUUACAAACAUGAAAAUAAGCAUUUGUAUUUAAUCUAAAAACCAAAAAUAAUUUAAAGAUAGAGAGAUAGCGUGCAUGUGUUUUAAUUUCACAUUGCCAUCUCAACAUCUUAUCCAUGCUCCUGUCCACAAUAUUUAUCAAUUAUGUAUUGUGAGACAGAUAUUAUUAGAAGGGUCGAUUAUAUCUGCUAAAAUAAUUUGUCUUAAUCCAAAGUUGAAACUUAUUGAUGCAAUUUACAUAUUUCCACGAAACCGGCAAACAUUUUUUCUCUCUCUUAAUUUUGAUUCUUUGCAUCCCAUAAUUUUUCUGUUUUUCAAUGGAUUGUACAAAAUCUUUUAAAUUAUUUUCAUACACGUUUCAAAACUGGAAAAGAUUUUAGAAAUUCAUAAGAAGAGGUGGUUAGUGUUGGACGCGUGACACGUGAUCUCAUUUUAAUGGCUCAAGAGUAUCUCAUAAGUGUACAUCUAGCGGUCCUAGAUCGCAGACGACCUUAAAUGAAUUGAAAAGUGGCCACCCUAUGUGCUAGAUCUGUCAUUUGAAAAGUAGACUGAAAGUUGACGAGAAAUGUCAGCUGCAGAACUGUCAAAACGUAUGGAAGAUCUCAUACGAAAGAUUUUUAGGCCGAAUCGAUAUUAUGGAAGAUGCCUAGUGAAAUGAAGGUUCACUGCUUCGAAAAUUUGCUGCAGCAACUUGAGGCAACUUGCUUUGGACUUAAAAGGUUCAGUCUCUAACAUGUCGCUUCGGCUUAGGUGCUUAUUCCACUUCGGCCUAUUAUCUUGAUUGCCUCAAUUAAGUCAGGUAGGCAAAAUGACAUGGAGUAUGGGCCUUAAGUGACUUGUUGCCAUUUUUUAGUUGGUUGUCACGUGGUCUGCCUCGUGGACAAGGCGUAACAAAAGUAACUUCUUUUAAAGAAGAUAGAACAAUCAUUUCUCAAUUUGAACAUAAAACAAAAAACAAAAAAAAAUGCUACAUGUACAGAUUUUUUUUUUCUUUUUUUGUAUAGAUGGAUUUACAAGUGUCGGGAUGGCAAAAUUUAAUCGAUUGUUUUUUUCCCCCAAAUUCCAAUGAAAUCUUAUUAAGUGGCAUUCUGUUAAUUAGUCUGUAAAAACAUCCUAUACAUCUAACAUUUCUCAAAUCUUUAACAUAAAUCGCUUAACGGUACAAAAUAAUUCAAACUUUAAUCAUAAACUAUUAUCAAAGUUCACGUGGAAAAGAUUAAUAAAUUUCAACUAUGUCAUAUGGUCUCGUUUUACUUCCUAUUAGUCCAAACCGUUUGAUCAUGUAGUCAAUAUUGUAUAUUUGUUCUCAAUACAAUGUUUAAAAUAAAACUUUCUGAACAUAAUGUUUAAAAUGUAUCCGUACUAAUACAAGUUUAAUGCUAUAAAAUAUUACAAAAUUUAAUCAUAAAAUUAACAAAGUUCACCUAAAAAAAAUUAACAAAGUUCAUUUAUGAAUAUUGAUUAAGUUAAUGAAUUAGAUUUCUUUAUUCAAAGUAGGAAUUUUUGUUUUGUUUUGUUUUUAAACCAUGAUUUAUGCUCUAUGUUCUUUGUUGUUACUGUUAGGCUUUAUCAACAAGGCAACUAUUCACUUCACUCUAAUGUUAUCUCAGAAAGAGUACCCCCCCCCCCCAAUUCUUCAAUCACAGUAAACUACAAGAUACAACAUUGUUACUUCUCCAACUACAUCUACCAGAUAUUGGACAUCAAUCACUACAUCACCUCCGUCAAGCUAAAUUUUAGAGGCAGUUCAUAAGCCCUCUCAAAACAUCUGUUAUUCAUCUCAUGCUCUUGCCAAAGUUUACACCUUAUAUAAUUAGAUCACAUGAAAUCUUGCUAAGAAAUAGCAAGAAACCAUUCAAGGUUGCAAUCCACGUCAUUUUGUAGUCUAAUUGAAAGCAAUCAAGGGAAGCUGCUAAAGUGACUAAGCACAUCAGGCGAAGCACCAUAUUAGAGGUUGAACCUUCAUGUCCAAAGUGAGGUGUCACGAGUUGCCGUAGCAAAAUUAUGAAGCAGUGAGCCUUAGUUUCCCGAGACAUAUUCCAUAACAUCACUCUGGCCCAAAGAUCUCCCCUAUGAGAUCUUUCGAAUGUUUGAUUGAUUUGACAACUUCAUAGAAGACACAUUUUAGUCAACCUUUCAGUCUACUUUUCAGUUGACAAACCUAGGACAUAGAAUGGUCACUUUACAAUUUACUUAAUUUCCCCUUCAACCUAAGAAGGUUGAAUAUGACACCUAUGAGGUUUGAUCUUGCAGCUAUUAAGAUGAUGCCAUAUGUCACACAUCCAACAGUGUCCCACUCUUCCCUUCAGUUAUAAAAGCUCAAAUUUAUUGCUUUCAAAGGCAAUAUAAUUUUAUACUUAAAUACUAACAUUGCUCAUGUUCGUCACCAAUCCCACACCCGAAUAUUAUCGCCCAAUGGUUGAUUGACUUGAGUAUUAGAGUGCCCGCAGCCUCCUCCUCUACCGCUAGAGAACGUCAAUACACCUAAUGUUUGUUCAAAUGUGCAUAAACUUAACACAUGGAUGGGAGUGGAAUCGAAAUUUGAUGGCCAUGUGCUCUUACUGAAUUGUGAGGUCAACAACUUUUAUGUUACUAAAUAAACCGUGUUUCUGAAACCAAACCAAACCUUAAUCCCCAAUCACUCUAACAUAUACACAGGGAGUUUGAGUCAGCACGAGCGACCGUUGAUCAUUUACUGUUGGCCACAAUAAAAUAUUAAGAAUUCUUUUGAUACCCAUUUUUAAUUUUGCAAAAAAAGCAUUUUGGAUUAGUGAUUUGAUGGAGAAUGUGUGACCAAAAAUAAAGAAAAGUUUUUUUUUGAAUUUACGUGUAAUAUUAUUUUAUUUAAUAACCUAUGGAUGAAAAGAAUAAAGAAAAAACGUAUUUUAAAAAAAAUGGGAAUCGAAUAAGGUAUAAAAUAUAAAUAUAACAAUUAUUUUGUUCAAAUUGAACAUAUAUAAUUAUGUUAUAAGAAUCAAUAGAAUUCAUCAAAUGACAUUAUUGCCAAGUUGUGUAUAAUACGAAGGAAGAGUACGAAUUCAAAUCUUUAAAAUUGUUUGCAUUAAAAUAGUUAAAACAUAACAGAUAUUAUUUUAUUAAAUCUAAUGACACAAUUUAAGGGGUAUCAUAAUGGUUGAGUUUGCAACAAUUCUUGCUUGAGAUCCCUGGUUCAAAUCCUCAUUAUUCCUUUCACUAUUGAAUUUUUCUAAAAACUAUAGAAACAAAAUAAAACAUAACGAAUCCAUUCAUAGAGGACUUGAACCCGAGACCUCAAGCAUGUUUCAAUUGGCUGUCACCAACUCAGCUACAACUGAUGUUUGAAAAUAAAAAUGUAUUACCAGAAAUAUAAGGUAAAAUUUUAACCUAUUGUUAACAAAAAAAAAUUCUCCUAGUGGAUCCAGCUAGGGCAUUUGCCCUAGCUGGCCACCACCUAGAUCCGCCACUGCAUACACAUACACAAUCAACCAACCACCAACCGCACUUUCCAU